AAAAAAUUACUAUAAAAUCUUGAUUUUUUUUUAAAAAAAAUUGUGAGAUCUAUUUAUGAAAAUUUACCAAUAAACUAUAUGAAUAAAUCGAAUUUAAAUAUCAAUUGAUUUAAUUUAGUUUUUAAUUUUAUUAAGAUCUUCAUGUUUCUCGAUCUAAUCAUUGAAUUUUCAAAGUUAAAAAUAUCAUAAAUUUCAUAAAAAUAUUAAAUUCAUCCAAAAAAUUAAAAAUCGGAUCAUAUAAUGACUAAAUCGAGUGAAUUUAUUUUCAGAUUUUAGUAAAUUGUAAAUAAAAAUUAAAGUGUAUUAUUUUACGCAAAAAGUUUAAAAUCUGUCAAAUAAGAAGUUUACACCUAGUGUGUUUGGUUUCACGUAAAACUGUAGAAAAACAAAAUUUCAGUGGAAAAAAAAUUUACGUCGUUUAGUAUUUAGUUUGUAGGAAAAGAAAAUUAGUUUUCUAUGACAGUUAUUUGAUUGAAAAGAAAAAUAUAAUAGAUAAAAAAAUAUUUAAUAUAUUUUUUAUUAUAUAUAUUAUUAAUAUUAAUAUAUAAUAAUAAUUAUACUAUAUAUAUUAUUAUAAUAAUUUCUAUUUAUAGAUUAAAUAUAUUUAAAAUUAUAAUAAAUAUAUUAUGUCACACCCCGGAUUACUCGUUCUCCGGGCGCGCCGACAAAUCCGCCGUAUACAAAGAAAUUUUCUCUGUAUACGAAGCGAUAGCUGUACCUGUAAAUCAUAUAAUACUACAAACAGUAGUAUAGAGCUGGUAGAAGAACCAAUAAUAAAAACAAACCGAGUUCCAUAUACAUACGCCAAAUCCAAGAUACAAUACUACUCACACUGGCGAGUUAAUAAAUGUAUGUACAUGAACUCCAACAAAAAUAACUACCUGCUGUAGGGGCACCUCUAGCUUGGCUCGUUGGGUAGGGCUCUAACUCGCAACGCCCUUGCCUCGAUCCUGAUCAGCAACAGCAGUAACCGAAGACGAUGGCUCUGCAAAAACGGGAUAACAACAGGGCGUGAGAACUACUGUAAAACAAAUAGUCCUCAGUGGGUGCCGCCCUCAACAACAUCGGUCCACCAACUAAGUCUACAAAAGGGAGCAAUGGUAGUAAUAAAUGCUGGAAUGAAAUCUAUAGCUAUCAUUUAUUACACUAUCAUGUUCUAAACUGACCUACUGUAAAAAUGUCAAUCCUGACCCAAUCUCUUUAAGGACUGUAAACAUACCCGUCCUAGAGACUGUGAACACACCCGUCCCGCUCAAUUGAAACUAUCUAGCUACCUCCACACUAUCCAGUCCGUGGAGAGCAGGUCUAACUGGCAUGAACGACACCAACACGAAAGCACAACACCCGUCUCCGAAGUGGCACUCGUGGGAACUACCCAACCGAGUAUGCAGUGUAUCUCUGUCGAGCUCAAUCAGGCUCUCUCAAGCCAAAGUCCAAGUAACCAACUCUAACUGGUCUAACAACCAACAGGUCACGUGCCGUCGGCACAAUCUGAUACCAAAAAGACGAUAUGGGUCCACCGUCAACCCCGACGGCAUCAAACAGUCCGGAACAGGCUGAACGUUACUGUAAAAAUACACUCGGCAUCCCAGCACGAGCAUAACUGAAAGCUAAACUACCUGGGGUACCCGUCGCCUCGAUACUGCGACGAUACAAAAUUACAACGGCUCCUAGAACUAAACAGGUAAUGUAAACAGGUGACAGGUCCAAAUCGCUGGUUUUCUCCUAAGUCAAGUUCCAAGUCCAACAUGUAUAUUUAUGGUUUACUAAUCAUGUCCUCAAUGCUGAUUUCAUCCAUGAUACAAUCAAUGAAAUUGAACUACAACAUGAUUUACAAAAACUGGAAAUCAUACAUGUCGACUAAUACUGUGCUUAGGAAAUAAACCGAUGUAACUCACCUUAAUUGCUAAUCCUGCCAACAAAGAAGGUCCCUCAACUGUGGGACACCCUGUCGGAACCAGCCGCACCUGCUUUCAGCUAGCAAAGAUCCACGAUCAAGAUCUAAAUAUCAAUUCCACUAAAAUCCACCAAAAAAAUCCAAUUUCAGCACUUAAGCUUGGAUUUCUCCCCACUCCAAUGUUAAAACUCAUCUAACGAUCUCCAAAUCAAGUGAGGACAAUCUCAAAUCCAGCAAAUACUGAUGGGUGAUGCAUCUCAGUUCCAAAAUCCCACUGCCUACAAAGAUAGCAUCAAGAAAAGCUCAAAAAUCUCAUUUUCAGCUCAAUAUCAACAGCAGUCCAGAAAAACCUCAGUUCGACCAAACUAAUCUCAACCAAAAUCUGUAAUUCAGGGCUUCCUGGAUUCCUCUGGAAGUCUAGAAUCUAGCAAACCAAGUUUCACCACGAUCCGACCUUCCUACGUCGCGUACGAGCCAAAACACUGGAGGCCGUCGCUGCAGGACUGCAGAAUCAGCACCUAUCAAGCUGGGAAUUGUGGAUCUUGAAGCAAUUUGAGUAGAUUUGAGGUUGAAAAUGCAAUUUAAGGGUUCACUGUGAAGAAUGGUCGAAAAGGCUUCACUGGGGUCAAGCUCCCCCUAUUUAUAGGGUGCUGGAAUGAUAAAAUAAGCCCCAGGUUCAAAAGCUGCUAACCUGGUGUCCCUGCAGAAACAGGCAUUUCUGGGCGCCCGAAACCCAAUUCUGGGCGCCCGAAACCUCCAGGCUGCACAAAUCUUCCUCCUCGGACUCUCCGCUCACGGUGUGCUGCGCCCGUAAACGGCUCCGACGGAUCUCACCUACCACCAGCCACGUGUCAACACAAACGAUAUUCACGAUGUAAAAUUUUCGGACCCACUUCUGGGCGCCCGGAAUAUAGGAUCCGAAUUGACUUCCAGUUCUGAUCAAAUCUGCACUCAACUUCUGGGCAACCCAAGACCUGUUCUGGGCGCCCGAAUCUGGCAAAAUUCCAGUUUUGCUUAUUUGAGUGCGCCGAGUCCAUUUCUGCAUCCAUUUCUUGCAGAAACGACUCCGACUCAGUUCGACACUCUCCAGAUGUAUCGACCAGUCACUAACAUUAAAGCCAAUCCUAUCCAAAGUUCAAAAACACUAUAUAUUACUUACAUAUAUAUAAUAAAAGGAAGGUCUACCGUGGACCUCCCUAUCACACGGUCCACGAGGCCGAAGUGGCCAUGUGGACCAUACAAAAUCGCUGUCAUGAUCCGUAAUUUUUUUUGCUGUCUUUUCGUUUUUCACGGCUCUUGCGUGGAAAUCAGAAGGGAGAAUUUUUCGCGUAUAUGUAAAAUUAUUAAUCAUGAAUUUUUUUUCUACGACGAACCAAAUAAGCCGCAAACUGAUUUUCCACAGAAUUUUUUUUUUUCAUCCACUUUUACGUCAAGCCAAACACACUCUAACCAUUUGUUAUCGAAACCCACGUACAUACUUUUCAUUUGCAGGUUCUACCAAAGUUGACAAACAAAAAAGGAGUUAGUACAUUUUGUCUUUAUUUCUUAACUCGUAGGGAGAUCACAAUUGUGCUUGUAACAAAAAUAAGUAUGAUAACAAUACAUGAUUGUUAAUUAUUAGGAGAAUAAUAUUAAGAAUAAAGCGAGGAAUUAAUAGUACAAAUUCUAGAGUUAGUUAGAAAACCAAUUUCAGAGGUUGUAGUUUGGAUGAUUAGCAACCUAACCUUUUUGUUCGCUUUGGCUAAUGCUAUUGAAAGGGAAAAAUUAUCCCCUCAUGCGAAUUGUGCCUUAAUUAACAUACAGUUUACAUUAAUUGAUAGUCAUAAAUUAAGCUACCGACUGUCCCUAGAGCAAGUGCCAAAGGGAUUUGUGAUUGGUACUCGAGACCCAAGUUCGAAUCCUAGUUGAUUCACAUUUCUAGCUAAGUUUAUUUCUAAAUGAAAUAAACGAAGCGGGUAGCGUGCUACCUAUCUCUCAAAAAAAAAAAAUUUAUUCUAUGAAAUACCUCAAUUCCGAUUCGAAGAUCGUGAAGACNACCUAUCUCUCAAAAAAAAAAAAAAAAAAAGAUAGUCAUAAAUUAAGCUUCAUUAAGGCUAAAUAAAGCCCUAGCAAGCUACUAUAAAAACCAAGCCUAAGUAGGCCCAUGCAGGAUGGAAUCCACUUUGCACCACUACUCAAGUUCAAAAAUAUAAAAAUGUAUAAGAGGGUCAUCCCAUUAUUUAUUGCUUGAGAUAUGCUUAAAGUUAAACUUUUUAUCUUAAACAGCAUAUCAUGGACUAUUAAUUAAUUCUAAUUUAAAAAAAAACAACCUUUGUCGAAUCAAUUUCAAACACUUGGUGUAAAACUAAGGGCUUGUGCAGUGCUAGUUGACGAAGUGUUAUAAUUUUGAGCAAUGCUUUUGGAGGAACGCACUAGUGAAAUCUCUAGAGGUUCAAAUUGGGUCUUUAAAUAUAACUUUUCGCAUCCCGCGAUAGCAAAACUUUUCUGCUUCGUGACAUAAUAUGACAUACUAGGAUACUACUAAUUUUUUUUUUUUUUUUUUUUUUUUUUUGCAAUUGAUAUUUAUGGGCUUUGUUUGACCUGGACUAAUUAUGACGCACCUCUGAACUUGUCUGUAAAUUUUGAGAUUUAAUUGUCCUUUAACUCANAAAACCUUUUCACACUUGAGAAUUACCUAGAGGAUGGUGGAUGAGGUAAGAGGAGAGUGGCUAAAAGAUAACUUUAUUCUCUCUCUUUCUUUUUUGAUGCAAAAAGCAUAAGAAUGUUGUCCUUAAGUCAAACUUGAUAUAUAACUUAGUUUGGAAGGAGAAUGUUUCUCAAUCCCUUGCAAAAGUUUUGCUAACAUAGGAAGGAAUAACUCACUUUGUGAUACGUGGGCCAGUUCGAGAGAUUAUAAAAUUCUGAAUCACUCAUUGGGGUUCUUAUUUUAAACUAAUUAAGCAAGCACUUUUAUAAGUUGUUUACAACACCUUUAAUUACAAAGGGUGAAGCCAAUAUUAUCAAAGUAAAUGCUUGGGUCGAUUCUCUCAUUGUAAAGUUGCUUAUAUAUUAUUAAUGUGUUGAUAAAAUUAUAUAAUCGUUUUUAAAGUUAAAUUUUAAUUUGCUUCAUUGUGGUAUAGUGUAUUUUCAUUUUGUCACUCCUAUGAUUUAAUUUUUUAUUUCAAUGAGAAAAGCCUAUUGACGGAUAUGAAAAUAAAGUAAAAUAUUUUGAAAAUCUCAAGGUGGUAAUCUAUUUAACAAUAGAUUCUUAUAGUGAAAUGAAAAUAAAAUUACAAAAUAAUUAAGUGUAGCUUUUUAAAAAACCUGAAGGCGGUACCUGUAGCAAUAAUUUAUUAUCAAUGAGGAUACCAAGCAUGCAUAAACCAUAAUAACAUAUCACCCACUACAAUUUUAAUGGAUUAGUAGUGGUGUCUUAGUCGAAUUGUAUAAACAAGAUGCCCUACUACUCUUUUUAACCUUUUAAUUGUGAUUCACUUUAAUUUUCCAUUUAAUGAUUUGUAUAUUAUAUGUGGUGUGGUCUGUUUUGUCUUCACCAAAUCAAAUAAUAGUUAUUUAAUUAACAUAACCAUAUUCUUCAUCGUGCUGUAAAAUUGUCUCUGCUCAAUUCUCUAUCCUUUCACAAGUCCCCUAAUUAAUAUAAUUCCGCGCAUCAUGCAUGCAUUCCUACACCAAAUAUAUAUUUGAAAUAAACAAAACAAAUAGCGUACUAUCUAUCUGUUGAGCCAGUUAGGCGCGAACAGCUGGCACACCGGGUCCACAUCCGUAAGAUGGCUAAAACGGUACACCGGACGUAUACAAGCAGUACUGGACCGAGGAGUUAUAACAACCGCAAGCAGUUACGAGUGGUUCUGAUCGGCCGAAGAUGGUCCUACGAAUCAGGAGAUAGUGGCUGAUCAUGCAAGAGCAAUAACUGACGCAAAGACGGUUCUAUAAAUAGGCAUACGAUACCCUGAAAAAGGGUCUUCGCCCCUGCGCAUAAAAGACCACAUUUAUUUUUCUGCAUCUUUCAAUUCCCGCAUCUACUGUUUUUCCUUAGGAGUAGUUCCUGUAAUUUAGCAUACUCGGAGUCUGUCUGUCCUACGGGCAUCACUCCCCUGUUUCCAUACUCGGAGUCUGUCUGCCCUACGGGCAUCACUCCCUUGUUUGUGUACUUUUUUCUUGUGCUGUUCAAUAGAAAGUCAUCUUCAGCUCUUCCUGCCGAUCAAAUCACAAGUUUGUUUGGCCAUUCGGCUCGUUUCUUAGUCGAAUUCCGGGCUUCCCCUCUCCAUUCGGCUCAUCCUGCCGAAGCGAAUUUACUGCGGAGGUUUUCGAACCCGGCUGAUUCGAUUCCUCAUCGGCUUAAUCGCUUGAUCCUCUAUAGGCGCAUAUUUCAAGGGUCAUAAUCCGCAGCCGUCUAGCAGCCCGACGAUCUUCCCGAGGAGAAUUGUUGACCGGGUCAAGAGUCGGGACGUUCAGCACGCAACACUAUCUCUCAAAAAAAAAGAAAAGAAAAUAGAGAGCAUGUGAAAUAAGGGAGCUUUUUUUUUCUUUUUUUUCCCUUGAGGAAAAAUAAAGCUAGCUGAAUUUAUUUAAGACUUGUUUAAUUAGUCCUCAUUAUGUAGGAAUUAAGAACAUAUUUGGUUCCAAGGAUUUAAGGCUUGAAAUGAAAAUCAGAAUGACUCAUUACUAAUAAUGUUAGUGUUUGGUUUGGCAAUUUUGAUUUUCAUUUUCCGGAGAAAAUUGAACCACACCUAAAGUUAUUCCCACCAAAAAUUACUCCCACCGUAGAGGUGAGAGUCAACUUUGAUUUCAAGAAGGAUCGAGAAAAGAAUUUCUUUUUAUCCGCUAAUAAUUUUUAAAAUUUAAAUAUUAAUAUGUAUAUUUAAUUUUAGAAAAUAAAAUUCUAAUUUUAAGUUUGAAUUUGAAUUAUAAAUUCAAAUUUUAAUUUUUAAAUUUUUUAAGUUCAAAUUAGAUUCUAAUAUAAGUUUGAUAUUUGAAUAUAGUUCUAAAUUUAAAUUUUGACUUUCUACUUGACUUUGAAUUAAUUAUAAAUUCAAAUUUUAAGUUUAAAUUUAGAUUCAAAUUUUGAUUAUGAAUUUGAAUAGCAAAUUUAAAUUUUAAAUAAAAUUUAAAUAUUUUGAAUUUUAAUUUGAACUUGAUUCUGAUUUCAUCUUCUCUUAUGAACCAAACAACUUAGAAGUUUUUAUCAUUAUGUUUUUUAUUACGGCCCAUUUUCACUUAAACCCACAUAAAUGUGGCAAUUUUUUUAUCAUAUACUCUAUAGAAACGAUAACAAAUUUUCUGAUGUUUUGUAUCUCCCUGGUUUAUGUGGUCUAUCUCUUAUUGUAAGCAUGUAGCCUUGUAGAUCAGUAGUAGGAGAAACUUCAAAUGCCCCACUAUAAGAUAGUGCAUUUGUGUAGUAUAUAAUUAUAUUAUCUUUUGAAGUUGGAUGCUUUGUCCUUAAUUUCAUGACCUCAGUGUUAAGUUUUUGUUCAAUGCUCAUCCAUAGAAAAUCAACAAAGAUUUAUUGCUUAAAAAGAAUUAAAGAGUGAUAAAAUGCAAAUUACAAUAUGGUACAAUAAGGUAUUUUACUAUUUUUUUGAGAAUAUACUUCAAUUAUUAAUACUUGUAUUUUGAAUUACAGAAUAUUAGUUGUUGAUAAGCAGCUAUACCUGACCAAGGGUCUCUUUGGCUUAGUUGUUAGAACAGUAAUUUUUGCUGAAUAAAUUUUAGUUUGAAAUUUUGUUUUUAUUUAAAAGUUGCAUAACAUUUGGCUGAGUUUACCAAAAAAGUAAUUUUUUUGGAAGUGAUUUCAUAAAAUGCUGGUAGAUAAUUUUUUUUUCCUACUUGGACAUAAUAAUUUUUUUUGCUAAAUUUUAUUUAAAUAAAAAAAAGAAUAUAAAUUUUAAAUUCAAAAUUAUAAUUUAAAAUUUAAAAUUAAAAAAUUUCUAAAGCAUCAGAUAGUCUUAAUGAAGAAAAUUCAAUUAUUUUAUAUAUGAGACUUAGUGUCUAAAUUUUAUAAUUUCUCAUACAUACAUAGGUCAUUUAAAUAUUAAAGAAUACAUACAAUAAGUUAAAUUUUGAUUAACAAAUCUUUUCCAUACCAACCGUCCCUAGAGCAAGUGGCAAAGGGCUUGGUGAUUGGUACCCGAGACCCAAGUUUGAAUUCUUUGAUUCACAUUUUCAGCAUAGUUUAUUUCUAAAUGAAAUAAACGAAGCGAUAGCAUACUAUCUAUUUCUCAAAAAAAAAAAAAAUCUUUGCCAUAAUUUUCUAGAGAUAUGUUCUAUAAGAUAUACUUGUACACUCGGCGCACGCAGUACUUUUUCGGAGUGGUGAGGCUCGGUCUAUACAUCGUAGCUCGAAAUCGUCAACUGUUUGGGUACGUCACACAUUUGUUACGUGAAUCGAGAUCACGAAAAGAAGGGGUUAAGAACAUUUGUUACGUGAAUCGAGACCAUGAAAAGAACGGGUUAAGAUUUUGCAUGCCAAAGCACAGAAAACGUUAUUAUUAGAGAAAUUAGAUUUCCACAUCCAAAUCCGUAGGUUUAAACCUGAUUAGUUACCUAAAACAUAGAUUCACACAAUUUUCUGAACGAGAAUGAGAUCGCAAAAUACCAUUUGUUUGACAUGUUUUAUAGGAGUAAGUACCAUUAACUUCUUGAAACAUAAAAUAUAAAUAAAUAGAAAUAUUAGAUACGCAAACUCGUAUAAAAUAUGUGGAAAACAAUGCUACCAUACUAUCGUAUAGGGACUUAGAAUGUUAAAAUCUCUAAUUCACACCAUUAACUGUUUGUGAUAUUAUCUACCUUGUGAUCAAAUAUUCAUGUCAAAAUGAAAGAUACAAAUUGAACCAUCCUUAAAAAAUAAGGAUAAUUUUUUUAAGACUAAAUUACAGAAAUUCCUCCUGUCAAAAUCCGAUUUUUCACUUUUCCCCCCUGUCAUUUAAAAACCUACACUUUGCCCCAUUGUAAAAUGAAAAAUGUGCACUUCACUCCCUACCGUUAGUGAUCCGUUAGGCUUUCGUUAUAAAAUAUUUUUUUAUGCCAAAAAUACCCCUCUGCCCUCUUCCCUGUUACUUUGCCUCCCUCCGGCUCGCCGCUUCGCCGCCGCCUCACCCUCCUCCACUGCCUCGCCCUUGCCCUCGCCCACAUCCCCUUCGCCCUCCUCCAUCGCCUCGCCUUCGCCCUCAUUGCCCUUGCCUACCUCUCCAUCAGCGCCCACCUUGAUUUUCUCCCUACUGUCACCGAAAGCGAGGGGCGGCGAGGGUGCAGGAGGAGAAGGGGAGCAGGUGGAGAAGAAAAUGGAGAGAAAUCGCGGCGGAUCGAGGUGUGAAUCGUAGCCGAUCGAGGCGGCGAUUGAGAAAGAUGAGGGAGGAGACGAAAAUGGUGAGAGGCAAAAUGGUCAUUUUACAUACCGUACCUUCCUGUGAACAUUUUUCAUUUUACAAGGGAGCAAAGUGUAGGGUUUUAAAUGACAGGGGAAGUGAAAAAUCGAGUUUUGACAGGAGAGUUUUAUGUAAUUUAACCUUUUUUAAUUCAAAAUUAAGAAUGUUUAUCUUGAUCUAACUAGCUUCUUUGUCAUUGAAAUAUUAUAUUGUUAAGAUAUAAACUCAUCAUACUAGUUAUUGAAAUUUUGAUAAUUUUGAGAUGUUAUUGAAGAUUUAGCUUCUUGGUUAUUUGGGGAUCUUCUUGGCUACUUGCCUACUAGUGACAUUUCUUGUUUGUCCGUUGCUAGAUCUUUGGUUAAUUAAUUCUCCAUUUUAUAUCAUAUAAAAAAGAUAUAUUUUCUUUCCCACAUCUCUCUAUCUCUCUCUCUUUUUUUCUCUUACCUAAAUCGCUUGUAAUUCGGAUGAUUACGAAUUUAAACUUCAAUUGGAUAAUAAUUCGAUUGGCGGAGUUGUUGCCAAAAGAUUAGGAAACAGUUAACAUGUCGUCCUCGUAAGGCACAUAGUUAAACAUCAUGUUAUCUAUAUAUAUAUAUAUAUAUAUAUAUAUAUAUAUAUAUAUAUAUAUAUAUAUAUAUAUAUAUAUAUAUAUAUAUAUAUAUAGUAAAAUUAAAGUACAAAAUCCAUCUGCAAGAUCUUAUGAAAGGUACCAUAGAAACUCAAAGUUACCCUACCAAAGAUUAAAAAGGGAAUAUUUUUUGCACUGAUUCUAUUUCUCUAUAAUAAGAUUACUUCAUCUCGUAUGCUAAAUUAUUCCUUUUUUUCUUUUUUUUUAAAUAAAUGUUCACGGUACUAAACACAAAGUUUAGGAUAAUAAGCACAAACUGGGCCCACGCACACAUAAAAGUGACACCGAGAGAAUAAUAUAAAUAGGCCAACAUAACCCAACAUCAUAACUCCCGAGCUUUUCCUCUCUCUCUCUCUCCCUCUCUCUCUCCCCUUUGUAUUAUAUCUUUCUCUACACUUGGAUCGAUCGUUCCACAUGAAGAAGAUAAUAUCUCCUAUUUUGCGCUAAAUCCGGAGAAACCCUUCUCAUUUCUCUCUCAUUCUAUCCAAAACAAAUCCACUUGCGGAUAAGUGCCACGCCCGAAAAGCAAAAAAAAAGAAAAAUCUAUCCCAACAAAGCGAAUUAAGCACGUAAGAGGGUGUUACGAAUAUCCCAGCACACCAUGAUGAUCCCAACAUAAGUAGAGGAAGCCCUAGCUAGCUUGCUACUUCCUUAGCACCUAUUUGAUCCAUGGAUUGUUGGAGGGAGUCGGAGGGCAAGCGCGUGCAUGAUCCCCUAUUCUACCAUUUUCCGACGACGGAUAAUAACAACACCGACGACGACAAGGACGACGAUGAUAAAGAAAGCGAAAGCGAUAGCGAUUGCGACUGUGUGGCUGUGGAGGGGCCGAUAAUAGUCGGGGCGGGGCCGUCGGGGCUGGCGGCGGCGGCGUGCCUGAAGGAGAAGGGGAUUCCGAGCCUGAUACUGGAGCGGUCCGACUGCAUCGCGUCGCUGUGGCAGCGGAAGACGUACGACCGGCUGCGGCUGCACCUGCCGAAGCAGUUCUGCCAGCUGCCGCUCAUGCCGUUCCCGUGCGGGCUGCCGGCCUACCCAACCAAGCAGCAGUUCGUCGCCUACCUCGAAUCCUACGCCGCCCGCUUCGCCAUCCGCCCGGCCUUCGGCGUGGCGGUGGCCGACGCCUCCUUCGACGGCCAGUUCUGGCGCGUCAGGGCGCACUGCUGCAGGCCGGCGGCGGGAAAGAAGACUCGGGAGUACGUCGGGAGGUGGCUGGUCGUGGCGACGGGGGAGAACGCGGAGCCGGUGGUGCCGGAGAUCGCGGGGAUCGGGGAAUUCUCCGGGGAGGUGCUCCACACGAGCGCAUACCGCAGCGGCGAGGCCUACCGCCGGAAGCGCGUGCUCGUCGUCGGCUGCGGAAACUCGGGGAUGGAGGUCUGCUUGGAUCUCUGCAAUCACAAUGCCCAGCCCUCCGUCGUUGUCAGAGACACGGUCAGUAGUUGCAUGCGUUCACUCACCUCCACUACUCUUCCCAUUUAUUAAUUUUUUUUCACAUGAUAAUUUUGUUCUUAUAGUUAAUCAUUGACUAGUUAGUGCGCAAACUCUUUCUUUGGGCUUGUGAAAUUCCAUGUAGAUAGCUAGAGACAUAUCAUGGAUAAGUUCCUUUGGCUCCAACGAAGGUGUAUUAACGAAAGUGAUAUGAAGGCUCAAUUUGAGUCGUUCAUUUAUUGUACCUUUUUAUAUCUACUGUUAUAUAAUUAUGUUUAAAUAGGAGAGUAAUGAAUUGAAGUAAGCAAUUAGAUUUGCUCUCCUACCCCUCCCUCUCUCUCUCUCUAUUGAUAUUAUAGUAUUUUCUUUUUUAAUUUUCUUUUCAACGGGGAAGUGGAUACGGAAGUUAGUUUUGAUCAAUAAAUAAAACAAUCCGAAAUAAAUUAAUCAUUAACCCUUCCAUACAGUGCAGUGAUUGACUUUUUCUUUUUUAAGAAAGGAUGGUAGCAUGCUAUUAUAUAUUUUUUUUAAAAAAAUAAAUUUAUCUGAAAAUAUAAAGUAAUUAGAUUUCAAAUACGAAAAUGUUUAUUUUUUUAGAAAUAAAAUUAUUGUAUUAUUGUUUAAAUAAGUACAACAAACUCACCUAUUCUUAUUCUAAAAAUAAUAACUCCAUUUUCGUAAAAAUAAAAUAAAAUAAACAUGGCCUAUAGUAUAGCAUGCGAAGAAAGAUGGAUUCGCCAUGGCAGGCCCUUUUCUUAGUAAAUCUCCACCCUUUAUUGGGAUUUGGGAUUCAUCCUCACGCGUCGGAGCCGCGCCUUAAUUCCUUCAUUGUCUCGUGCAACUUUUUUUUAAAUUCUUUUUUUUUUCUCGCUUUAAAAGCUGUACAAAAUAUCAUAAAAGAUAUUGCACCAUUACCAUUCUAUGGGCCCCAAUUUCGCCAAGAACAAAAGCAAUUGAUCUCAUACGAAGUACCAACAAUCUUUUAUUUUUGUAAGCAAUUUGGCUUAUUAAAUCCACACCCUCCCCUUGUUUAAUUACUACAAUAUAUAAAGAUUAAUUAGUUUAGAUAAGAUUAUAUGGAGACUGCACCAAACAUUUUAAUUCUUUCUUUUUUAAGUCUAUGAUCAUCUUUGCAGGACUCCUUUUUUAUCUCUCUUUUAAAUAUCAUUUUUUUCAUUCCCUUUUAAUUAUUUUAUAUAAUUUUUUUUUUGCAGGUGCAUGUCCUACCCAGGGAGAUGCUGGGUAGCUCCACUUUCGGGCUGUCAAUGUGGCUCCUCAAGUGGCUGCCCAUGCGGGCAGUGGAUCGGGUGCUCCUCCUCGUGGCUCGUCUAAUGCUCGGCGACACGGCCCGGCUCGGGCUCCCGCGGCCCCGGCUCGGCCCGCUGGAGCUCAAGUCGCUCUCCGGCAAGACCCCCGUCCUCGACGUUGGCACCCUCGCAAAGAUCAGAUCCGGAGACAUCAAGGUCUUCAAUUGAUAUGAGCAAAAGUUUUAAAUUAGAGCUUCUUAUUAUAAGCAGGAAUGUUCGGAAGAUUGUUAGAAAGAUUCUUAUUGCACUACAGGUGUUUCCUGCAAUCAGGCGAUUCACUGAACAUGGAGCGGAGUUUGUAGACGGGAGAUCAGAGGACUUCGAUGCAGUUGUUCUAGCAACUGGCUAUAGGAGCAAUGUGCCUUCUUGGCUAAUGGUAUUUUUUUUUUUCUUUUUGAGAUAAAAGAAGCUUCGUUUAUUUUCAAGAAAUGANAACUGGCUAUAGGAGCAAUGUGCCUUCUUGGCUAAUGGUAUUUUUUUUUUUCUUUUUGAGAUAAAAGAAGCUUCGUUUAUUUUCAAGAAAUGAAAUGAACUCAGAUAGAAUAGAAAUGUAAGUCAACUAAGUUUCAAACUUGGGACUUUUAAGUAUCAUCUAUCAAGUUCUUACCUUCUUUUUGAUUACUAGUAAACAGAAAUAGAGAAAAAGUAGUAAUGAAUAAAAGUGUUUAGGAUUACAUGUCAUCUUGAUUUGGAGACGUCCAAUAUUAUUCUAUAGCAGCUUUAUACUUUUAAAGGAAAAAAAAUUUGCUAUAUCUGGUUCAAAAUGUUGUUUCUGUAAAUUGUUGAUGUGCUGACACAUUGUUAACAGGAGAGGGAGAUGUUUUCGGAAAAAGAUGGGCUACCGAAGAAGCCCUUCCCGAAUGGGUGGAAGGGGCAGCACGGUCUCUACGCCGUGGGUUUCACGAAGCGCGGCUUGUUGGGCACGUCCAUGGACGCAGCGCGGAUCGCCGACGACAUCGAGCAGUGUUGGAAAGUUCAAAAGGCAAGCCAGCUUGUUAUGUCAUUCUCUUUGCCUGUGAUUAAUGUGAGUGCGUCAAACAUUACUACCACCACUACUACAUCAUCUUGUGAUCACGAUCAUAUUAGAUGAAGUGUAGAUUAUGUAUGGGGGUUGCGACAGGGUUUGAGAUUUUCUAAUUAUAAAGGGGGGUUAUUGUUUUAGUAUUGACUGGUUGUAUAUAUUAAUUGUAUACGGUUCAAUUGUUUUUUCAAAUUUGGAAUCACUGACUUGUAGAGAGAGAGAGAGAGAGAGAGAGAUUGGGUGCUUUUCUCAAGUAAUUUCACGUUCGUUUGCCACUAUAUAUUGUACUGAUGAUGUAAAAUCAGUAGGUGUUAGGUGUUUGGGAAAAAAUAAAAUAAAAUAAAAAUUCUAUCAGGAAUAAAAUAAUAUUCCAAUCUUAGUCUUUUAAAGAUAUAUUUUUCUAGCAUUGAAUUAAUUCUAUAGAAAAUUUUCUCACUGGGGAGGUGAAAUGAGUUCCAUAUCUUGAAAAUUGAUUGUACUUUUAUAAUUUUAGGUGAAAAUCUUAUCAGAUCAUCUAUCCAAAGCCUCUUUUUCUUUUCACUAAUCUUAUCACACUCCGACAAAACUUGGAUAUAAAAUUUACACUCAACUAUAUAUCAUGCAUUUUGUAUGUUGUGAGUGUGGGUAUGCCGUGGUCUCUCUCUAUCUCUCUCUCAUCCCACAAAAAGAAUGAGACAUGUUAUGUUUAGUCAAAACACGGCAAUAUAUAACACCCAGAACCAUGACAAGGUUUCCGCACACUGAAUAGGUUUAGUGGUUCACGUUCUCCUCAAAUCCAUUUAUCACGCCCAAUUUCUCUACCCUUGAUAGAGGACCACCACUACCAUCUUCAUGCAUGUGUGAGGAUGAUGCAAGGAUCUAUCGAUCACCGUUCAAUGGAUUCGAGAUAAGAAUAAACUUUCCUACACUGUAAAAUAGUCUACAUCAACAACAUGGCACUAGUCCUGCAUGUGUACAUCCAUAUGUAUACACUUCAUUUUUCUUUUUCUUUUUCUUUUUUUUUUUUCCUAUGAGCAUAUUCCUGUAGCUUAUAAGAUCAUGCGCGCUUUAAGUUGCCAAAGCUUCUUAGCUUUUUCAGUGUUGGGUCCAAAGUGGCAGACCACUUAAUUUGGAUCGGAUUCUUAUGUAUAUAUAUAGAAGAAUAUAUAUUCUUCUAUAUAUAUAUAGAAGAAUCCGAUCCAAAAUCUAGAAAUUGUAUAAAAAAUUGUACAUGAUUCAAUCAACCAUGCAGUUCAAAUUUUCAUGAAAUUAUUUUCUGUAAUUGUUGUUGCCAUGGAACUUUACAUGUACUGAUUAUUUUUAAGGAAAAUGGAAUAUUAUUUGGUGCAUUUUUUUCCUUUUUUCAGAAAAAAACAAACUUUGGACCCCAUCUGAAACAUGGUUAAGUUGAAAAUUUUCAUCCGAAGAAUAAAAAAGCUGGAAUUUACUACAUGAACAAGUAUUUCAACCAAUUGUGUCACAUUUUCCAUAGGUUGUGGCAGUGUAAAAACUGUUAGACCUCACUGCAACUUCCUAUUGUAGAUCACUGCCUUAAGUUUCAAAGCUAUGUUACUAGCUCCCACCCUACCUUCAAUUAGAUUAUAUAAGAUGAUUAUUCAAAUUUUCCACUUCACUACUACUAAAUUUUUUUUAAAAAAAAUGUCUUCUUUGCUACUGCAUGGCAAUCAUCUAUGAAGGGUAAUUGAAGACGAAGUCCCAAGUUCGUAGUCUAGUUGUUUAAGAUUUUUCUCUAAAAAAAAUUUAAUAAAAAAUUUAAUUACGAUGGUUUCCACAAAAAAUUGAUUGAUUUCAUAAUUUCUUUUUUCUUUUGAGGGAAAGGUAGCAUACUACCCGUUUUGUUCCUUUUGUUUAGAAAUAAAUUUAGUUGAAAAUGUAAAAUAAUUAGGAUUCGAACUUGAAUCUCGGAUACUAACCAUCAAGCACUUUGCCUCAUAAUAAUUUUAACUUUCUAAAAUUUAGGUGGAUAGAUUAUAGAAUUUUAGAUGAAUAGAAGCUUUUUUUUUUUCUCUCUUUUUUCUCUUUUAUUGACUUUAAAAAGUUUAAGUGAUAGGCCUAGCUACAAGCAUGCUAAAGUUCAAAGGGAUAGAUUUGACAUAUUUUUCUAAUUGCUAUUAUAUACAUGAGGAUAAACCUCUUUAGUAGUACAUACUUUCUCUUAAAGCUCUAUAUAUAGUUUCUUUUUUCCUUAGUGGUGAGUUUAAAGUCCUAGGAGGCAAGGGGACAGGAGUGGUGACCUCAACCACACGCACACACUGAGGUCAAACAAACACUAGCUUAGCUAAUUAGCUAUACAGGGCAGAAAAAGCCAGAUUCAGAAAAUGAUUGUUGCUACAUUUGCUUGUGCAUCACUUUCCUUGGGACUUGUUCAUUGAUAGUUUGUGUGAUGUGUUGCCAUUUUAAUUCUUACAUGUAUAUACCUAAACAUCAAAUGAUGGGGCCGCAUGUAUCUGGAAUAUUUGAUAGCUGCUUCAAGACAACUACAUAUAUCUAGCUAGCUGUGGCCUUCUAGCUAGCUACUUGGACUCAACACAUACAUACACAUGCACACACAAAGGAAAAAAAAAAUUUAUAUAUUGAAUAUAAAUUAUAAAAAAGUAUUAUUUUAUUAUUGUAUGUUUUGGAGUAAUUAUUUAUUUAUUUCAUUUGGUACCAGAGUCCAUCGUAAUCUUCAUUUUGCUUCAUUUUUUGCAUCUAGAGUAUUAGAUCUAUAUGUCUUGAAUUCAAGACAUGUAAGAUUUUCUAAUUCUAUAUUGUAUUAAUUUUAUAUUAUUCUUAAUCUUAAUGGAUUUAGUUUCUAAUAUAAACAUAUCUUUUAUUUCAUUAAUUUGCUGCAAAGGAUGUGCGAUAGUACGUGGUGUUUUUUGGAGUCUAAAGUUUUUAUAAGAAAGCCAUUUUUUAUACUCCAUUUUGAUUACAAUAAAAAUUUUCACCCCGUUUUUUAUAUACCUGUGGAUGUAAGCAAAUGGUUGAACCAUAUAAAUGUUAAUGUACUUUAUUUUUCUUCUCUUUUUCGUUUUUCUUUUCUUAGCAUUUCUGCGUUGAACGUACUCCAUUCUUUUUGCUUUUAUCAUAAUAAAUUGGUAUCAGAAUAACUCGAGAAUUCAUAACAUGCAGCUUAAGAGCAUAAUUUUUUUACUUUUAAUCUCUUCCUAUAUUGCUCUCGGUAAUGCGCAGGUACAUGGUUUACUUAAUUUCUACUACGCAUGCGAACAAAAGUAUCACUUUAUCUCUACCAUGCAUAUGAAUUAAUGAAAGUUUCGAGACUAAUUAAAUAUUCCUUGCCUGCCAGAUCGAUAUUUCAGAAAAAGAAAAUUAACUAACAUAUAUAUAUAUAUAUAUAUAUAUAUAUAUAUAUAUAUAUAUAUAUAUAUCUUUUUCUGAAAUAUCGAUCUGGCAGGCAAGGAAUAUUUAAUUAGUCUCGAAACUUUCAUUAAUUCAUAUGCAUGGUAGAGAUAAAGUGAUACUUUUGUUCGCAUGCGUAGUAGAAAUUAAGUAAACCAUGUACCUGCGCAUUACCGAGAGCAAUAUAGGAAGAGAUUAAAAGUAAAAAAAUUAUGCUCUUAAGCUGCAUGUUAUGAAUUCUCGAGUUAUUCUGAUACCAAUUUAUUAUGAUAAAAGCAAAAAGAAUGGAGUACGUUCAACGCAGAAAUGCUAAGAAAAGAAAAACGAAAAAGAGAAGAAAAAUAAAGUACAUUAACAUUUAUAUGGUUCAACCAUUUGCUUACAUCCACAGGUAUAUAAAAAACGGGGUGAAAAUUUUUAUUGUAAUCAAAAUGGAGUAUAAAAAAUGGCUUUCUUAUAAAAACUUUAGACUCCAAAAAACACCACGUACUAUCGCACAUCCUUUGCAGCAAAUUAAUGAAAUAAAAGAUAUGUUUAUAUUAGAAACUAAAUCCAUUAAGAUUAAGAAUAAUAUAAAAUUAAUACAAUAUAGAAUUAGAAAAUCUUACAUGUCUUGAAUUCAAGACAUAUAGAUCUAAUACUCUAGAUGCAAAAAAUGAAGCAAAAUGAAGAUUACGAUGGACUCUGGUACCAAAUGAAAUAAAUAAAUAAUUACUCCAAAACAUACAAUAAUAAAAUAAUACUUUUUUAUAAUUUAUAUUCAAUAUAUAAAUUUUUUUUUUCCUUUGUGUGUGCAUGUGUAUGUAUGUGUUGAGUCCAAGUAGCUAGCUAGAAGGCCACAGCUAGCUAGAUAUAUGUAGUUGUCUUGAAGCAGCUAUCAAAUAUUCCAGAUACAUGCGGCCCCAUCAUUUGAUGUUUAGGUAUAUACAUGUAAGAAUUAAAAUGGCAACACAUCACACAAACUAUCAAUGAACAAGUCCCAAGGAAAGUGAUGCACAAGCAAAUGUAGCAACAAUCAUUUUCUGAAUCUGGCUUUUUCUGCCCUGUAUAGCUAAUUAGCUAAGCUAGUGUUUGUUUGACCUCAGUGUGUGCGUGUGGUUGAGGUCACCACUCCUGUCCCCUUGCCUCCUAGGACUUUAAACUCACCACUAAGGAAAAAAGAAACUAUAUAUAGAGCUUUAAGAGAAAGUAUGUACUACUAAAGANGUACAGUCAUCACAAACCCUGGCGGUGAUUGCUGAACGGGUACGGAAGAAAAGGAGUUAAUAAGUAGGAGACUAAGAGUGUACUUCAACUAAACCAUCACCUGCGUCGUCGUCCAGUUCUAUGCAGAAGAAGGAGCGGAGAAGGGGGUCGGUAUUUGAAUAAUGCCUAAUUUUCGCUUUUAGGUACUCUGGAAAUUUGGUAGUGUGUGGUGAGUGGGUGAGAGAUCUUACUUAUACAUACAUAUAUAGGCUACUAUACUCUUAUGAGUAUAAAUCUUUUUAGAUUCAUAAAUUUUGAACUGUUGGAUGAAGGAAUGUGCAGUUAGGAUAAUAGUGGUCUACUAAAGUUGAGUGAGCUGUUGAUUUAAUAAUAUGAUCUAACGGAUGAAAAUGAUCAAAAAGAUAGAUCUAACGGCUGAAAAUUUAUGAGUAUAAAAGAAUUUAUACCGAUAAAAGUAUAGUAACCAUCCGAACUCUAUAUAUAUAUAUAUAUAUAUAUAUAUAUAUAUAUAUACCACGGACAAAAUAAGUAUAAUUAAUAUCACUUUCUCUUUAUAGAGUCGCACUUAUUUUACAAAAAAAGUUACAUAACUUUUAACAAAUUAAGCUCAGUUAUAGGGAGCACUUCAAAAACCAUGCAAGAUUUAUAGUAUUUGUUGGAUGUGCCACAAUUUUAGACCCCAAGUUCCUCAGACAGAUUCGCUACGAUAAAUUUGAAAAAGAAUUUGUGAAGAAAAAAUAUAUAUUCUUGGUGGGUGGCUACGGAUUGAAUCUGAAACGCAUUAAAAAAUUUCUUUCUUCGUUUUGCCCUUGACGCGAUACAGCAGAUUGUACAUACAAAGUUUGUACUCUUUUUUUUUAUAGUGAAGUUCUCUCUUUUUUUCCCCGUGAUUUUUUUUUUGCUAUAAAGAGUUUUCUACAUAAAUCUUUGUGUUCUAUUUUAUUUACUGUUUUGUGGUUUGUCUACCUUGUGUUCGCCUUUUUUUUAUUUAUGUUUAUGUGCUCGUUGUAACAGUGCUGAUCGAACAUGGUUUACAGCAUACAAAAAGACCUAGCUACAUGCGUAAAAUCAUAAUUCGCGAAAGUAGAGUACCUAAUAUUAGUGAAGAUUAUGAAAUUCAUGUAUAUCGAGCUUUGAAAACUAAAUUUGUAAAUCCAUGUUAAACUUUUAAAGUCUAAUUAAAAUUGUACUUAACAGUUAAAUUUUGAAUCAAUGUCCACUUCGGAACUUAGGGUUUAGACAUGCAGUAUAUAUAGAGGCCCAACCCAAGAAGUGAUCGAUUAUAUACUCUUGGGAGUGGUCGCAUGCAUGCAAAGUGAUAAGUUCAAAUGCAUGAUUGCUCUCUAUAAACCAACAAAAAAAACUCUCCAACCAUUUUCCAAUAAUAAUUCCCAUCUUUGUAUGAGUGGAGUGAUUAGACUCAUCUUCAUGUUUUGUUUGCUAGUUGUCUGAUUGAGUGGGUAGGAGCUUGGAAUUUUCACACACCACCUUUGUCCCUUUCCUUCCUUACCAUUGCACAUCAUAUUCAACCCAUUUAUGAUGCAUGCUUAGUUUCCAUCUCUAACUACAAGGACUAUUUAUUCUCUCCAAGAAAAAAAAAACAAAAAAAGGAUUAUUUAUGCUACAAAAUCCAGCUUUAAAGUAUACACAGGUUGUGAAAUAAAAUCUAUGGGCCCCGCUUAUUAUGUGGCCAUCAAAAUUAAUUUGACGGAGCACUCAGUUAUGUGUAACCCCUUAAUUUGCUUGGCCUAAUUGUGAUAAGAAGCACUAAUUAAUGCACCUCUCUCUCUCUCUCUCUCUCUCUCUCUCUCUCUCUCUCUCUCUCUCUCUCUCUCUCUACUUUUCAAUAUAGUCAAUAUGAUCUAAAGAGUCUCCAUAGUAAAGUUUUAAGGUUUCAAACCUAUAUAUCUAAUAGCUUUGAAAAGCAGAGGUAUGAAAAAGAAUAUUGCUCAAUACAAUAUUUGAUAUUCGAUGAAUUAAAUUCUCAUUCUAUAUAUGUUGUAUCAUAGCAUUGGAGAUGCAGUGUUACUUCUCUUUAUUUCGAGAGGUGUUCUAUUUUUACAAGUUCAUCUAUUUUUACAAGUUCAGCUACAGCGAUUCUUAGGCUUUCCACUUUUUUUUUUUUAGUGAUGGGAUACUUUAAUUGGCAGGGAACACUGUUAGACAUGAUUUACACUAUUUCGAAUAUUAAUUAGGAAAUAAAUUCAAUAAUUUUUUGCUAUUACUAAUUACCUAGUAACAAAAGUCUCAAAAUCAACAACUUGUGAUCAAUAUGAGCCCUUUAUAAGUUUAAUGGUACAGAACAAUUAAAUCGACACCUUUGAUCUCCAACUUAAUAGUUGGAUUAUUUAUUUUUGUAGAACUUCUUACCAUUAGCCAUAUUUUGCCAUCACUCGAUUCUGAGAUACUUAAUUAAUGACCAAUUUACCUUUUUUUUAAGAGCUAAAGGUAGAAUGCUAUAUAUAUAUAUCUGCUUCAAUUUUUUUUCAGAAAUGAAUUUCGUUGAAAAUAUAAAGCAAUUAAGUUUUGAACUUGAAAUUUCAAGUAUCAACCUCAAGCCCUUUGCCACUUGUGCUAAGAAUCGUCGUUGAUGAUGAUUUUAAAAAAAAAAAAAUUAAAUCAUAGAGACUUCAAGUACUCUAAAUCAUUACUUUUGUUGCCUCAUUAUCAAAAAUAAAAGUAAAACCACAAAAUCUUUAUGCUGUCUAGCAUAUACUCCAGCUCAACUACCAUUGUCACUCCAAUACCUGCAAACUUGCAUUAUGGGGUUUGAGACAUAAAAACACACACACACACACACACACACACACACACACAAAAGGGAUCUAGAGAGAGAGAGAGAGAGAGAUCCUUUAAAGGAGGAGAUUCACUGUUGGAUACCAUCAUUGUACCUCCCUCUUAACAGGAGAAUCUCAGAGGAAUCUAAGAUCUUCGAAAUGAUUUUGUCUCGAGCUCAUUAGUAAUAGAUGAAUCUCUAUGUGGCCCUUUUUCGAUCUCCUCCCCCUAUUAUAGACAAAGUCACUUUCUAUGUACAAAUUAUUAUAAACCUGAAACAUAUCUGCAAGGAUAUGUUUUUACCAACUAAAGCAAAAAUCAUGUUUGGUGUUUUGAGGGGCGGGGACCUCAGAGCAUGCACCGAUUAAGCUACAGAUGCGUGACAUGUGUCACAUCCAACGGCCAAUAAGAGGAGUUCUUUCCACGUAGGAUUACACUUUUCCCAGCCCCAGUACGUGGUGUAUCAAUGCGGUCGCAUUCGAGGGGUAGGGUUUGGGUCCUCUGUGGUCGGACCAUAUUCACUCAAAUGUUCAUGGAUAGGUCACAACAUUUAUGCCAUUGCAUUAUUAUUAUUAUCAUUAUUAUUAUUAUUAUUAUUUUGAAGAGGUAGUAGGAGAGGGCCCGUAAAUUAUUAUGAAUUCGCGAGUGGGGGGUUUAUAGAAAAUAAAUAAAUGGAAAUUAGUGGGAGGCAUUAAAGAAUAGAAAAUUUAUUUUCCUCUGAAAAUUUAAACCGUGCUGGUAUCAUGUUUAAAAAAUAACGAUAAAUUAACUAAAUUUUUAAAAAAUUUAAGCUAAUAGAGUAUAGUGUUUUUUUUAAUAUUUAUAUUUAAGAGGAGUUAAUAAGAGUAAAGAAGGGUAAUGAGAACAUUAAAAACACUGACACAGUCACUUUCUUUUUUUCUUUUUCUUUUUCUUUUUUUUUUGAAGAAUGUUGAAGGAUCAUUAUGCAUUCAGAAUAUCAAAAAAAAGAUGAUGUCUACAUCCAAGAAGAUUGCUAAUCUUUUUAUAUGCAUGGUCUAAAUAUUAAUCCCACAUAGAAGAAAAUGUUUUUUUUUAGAGAUAGGUAGCACGCUACCCGUUUCGUUAUUUCAUUAAGAAAUAAACUUAGUUGGAAAUGUGAAUCAAUUAGGAUUCGAACUUGGGACCUCAGGUGCAACCACCAAGCCCUUCGCCACUUGCUCUAGGGACGGUCGGACAUAGAAGAAAAUGUUAAUUGAAACUUAGUAACUUGUACUAUAUAGAUGACUUCUCCUACCACAAAGGGAAGUGGUAUUAAUAUAACUACUUCUAUGAAGGACCGAUCAAUAUUAUUAAAUUUGGUCAAAUUCAGUCAUUGAACUAAUGAUUAGACUUGAUGAAUCUAAGGUAUUAUCAAAAUCUCCUCUAUCAAUUAUAUCACCCUUGACCUACUAUCGAUAGUUUCUAGCAAAGUAGCAAAGGUCUGAGUGAUUGAUACCUGAGGUCCGCAGUUCAAAGCCUAUGCUAUUUGUUUGGCUAUCAUGCUGCUCUUAUAGAUCAACAUUGAUGUAUUUUGCAUAUAUAAUAUCCAGAACAUAUUGAGAGUUUUGUUUACGUGAUUCAAGCAUGCAAUCUAAAGCUAGCGCCAUAUAAAUUUGUCAACGUUUCAACAUUCCACACAUAAGAAGGACCUUUACGGUACCCGAAGCAUUUUUUAUCUGGAUCUAACUCUCUCGACAUUCUAAUAAUUCUUUAAUAAUUACCUAAUCAUGUGCAUUAUGUACUAGCUAAAUGUCAAAUCAACAUUUGUCACACUGCCACUUCAUAUAUAUAUAUAUAUAUACGGAACUAUAUAUAUAAUUAAUCUACGUUGCCCAAUCAGGUACACUUAGUUCAUACCAGUGUAAUUAACCUACUACUAUAAAUAAUUGCAAAGCUUUUGUGUUAACUUCCAUACAUAUGCUUACAGUGUAACAUGUUCUAAUUCUUGAGUGAUCUACUAUACAUGUACAUCAGUAUGGGUGAGGUAGCACGCUACCCGCUUCGUUUAUUUCACUUAGAAAUAAACUUAGUUGGAAAUGUGAAUCAACUAGGUUCGAACUUGGGAUCUCGGGUACUAACCACCCAGCCCUUUGCCACUUGCUCUAGGAACGAUCAGUAGAAUGCUCACGCGCGCACACACGUGCACACACAAAGAGGGGAGAGAGAGAGAGACUUUAGCAGCACUCUGUGCUCUAUUGUAUAAACUUUUGGUGAAAAUAUAUAAAACUUAUCUGAAUUAUGUACCAUUUUGAGUCCAUUAUUUAACUUUUCAAAUUUUGAUUUUACUUCAAAUUUCUUAAUUUGUUUGAUUUGAGUGACUCAACGGCAUUUUAACUUUUAAACUUGAAUGCAUCAUUUAUCUUUAUAGAUUCAACUAAAAAUUUAUCAAAGUAACUAAUUGGCUUAAAUUUUGAAGUUAAUAUUAUUAAUUGACUCAAAUCAAAUAAGUUGAAAGAUUGGAUAGCAAAAUCAAAAUUUGAAACACUGGAUAGUCGACUCAAAGUGAUUCCAUAAUUAAUUCUGGUAAGUUCUGUGCGCCUUUACCUAAGCCUUUCCUCUGUGUUCACCCUCUAAAUGCGACUCUAUUCUGUAUCCCAUCAUCAUCAUCAUCAUCUUCUUUGCAGAAAUAAGGCAAUAUAAAUGUAUGGAAUCUUCCGAGAAUCACGGAACUCCAGCCAAUAAUGGAGACCCACGAUCGAUCGCACAUGCAAAAGGUGGCCUCUCUCUCUCUCUUUCUCUUUCUCUAUCUCUCUCCCUCUAACUUUUGAGGUUGGAUCGAUCAAAUGAGGAGUUGAAUGCAGUAAUUUUACAGGAGGGUGCAUUCAUGCAUGCCACUACCUCUACAUCAUUGGUGCGCUGAGAAUUUUGGUAGUGGUGAAUAUUAACGGUGAUCAUUGAGGAUGCAUAUUGCACCAUUGUCUCAGCACGUACGUAUACGCAGGUCAACAUGCAUGGAUAGUGGGGUGAUUAGGAAUCUGAAUAUCAAUACACAACUGAGACAGGUCACAGGUGAUCAGAGACAAUAAAAGGUGAUGAUGGAUUGUUUGAACCAAGAAAACUUGCAGAAAAAAGUAAAGGACUAAAUUACACACUCUCUUCUCCAUCUCUUUUAUAAUGACUUGCAGGUAAGGUGAUCGUAUAACUAAGAUGUCACGACAUUGUCACGCAAUCGCCACAUUGUUGUGUUGAGGAGCCAUUUGGUUCAAAGUUCGUAAUAUUCUAAAAUUAUUGCAUAUUUUGUUAUUGAAAUGACAAAUUUAUUACUAAUUUAUCGAGCUACUCAGGUUGACAAAUCAUUAAGAACUAGUAUAUUCUUAUUAAUGAACUUCCUAUAAAAAUUUAGACUUUUUGCGAUAACAACGAUUUGUUGCAUGCUAUAAACAGAAAUUAGUUGCUAAUGCUAAUUAGCGGCAAAAAAAACUUUUGUCACUGCUUCGUUACUACAACCCCGUCGCAAAAAUGUUAUAGCAACAAAGUAAAGAAGUUGGUCGUUAUUAGCCGCUACAUUUUGCGACAACAAAAGAUUUGUUGCUAAAUUUAGUUGCUAAUUAUUUGCUUUCAAAGACAAAAAUUAUGCUUCCUCACUAAAUAUUUUGUCUCCAUACAAUAAAUUUAUUGUAGUGACAGUUAAUGAUUCUCGUCAAGUACAUUUAGCGACAACAAAAGAUUUGUUGCUAAAUUUAGUUGCUAAUUAUUUGCUUUCAAAGACAAAAAUUAUGCUCCCUCACUAAAUAUUUUGUCUCCAUACAAUAAAUUUAUUGUAGUGACGGUUAAUGAUUCUCGUCAAGUAUGAAAAUAAGAAAAACUUCUAACUUAACAUAAUCUAAUAUUUAUACUACUUAGGAAUUUACAAGUUUUCAACUGAAAUAUAGAGAAUUAUCAAAAUAUUACAAACCACAUGCACGAACUAAAUAGAUCCUUAUUGUGUUUACUGAUGCAGCUGCAAUGACGAGAAUGUCAUAUUACUCACACAUCAGCAACACACCACCGUUCGGUUAAUUUAAUUGGAUUGUGUUACAUCAUGAUAAUUGAAACAGUCUAGAAUUAAUAUUUGAGAUAAAAAUUAUAGCAAAUUAAGACAAGGUCAACCAAGAGGGCAAUUUAGACAAAGGAAAAAAUAAAAGAAAAAAAAGGCAAUUCAGAUUUCAGACUAACAAAAUAAUUAAAGAUUGAAGGUUCAAUCGGAAUAUUUCAUCACUAAUUAACAUUUUUUUUCUUCAUAUGUAGUUUUCCAUAAAAAAUUCAACUACUCAAAGAGUAAUUAACAAAGUAAUAUGCGGUGUUUGGUUCCUCGAAAAAGCGUACGUAAAGAAAAGAAAAAAGUUUUCAUGAAAAUCUCUUUUUCAAUUUUUCAUACAUUUGGUUUCAAGAAGAACUAACUUUUCUGAAAAUUUAUUUUCCAAAUUUCAUGGCAAAUUAAUAUUUUUAUUUUCCGAACUUUUUUAGAAAAACGAAAAAUACUAGUUUUCAUAAGAUAUGAAAAGAAACUUUUCAAAAAGCUAAUUUUUUUAGAACCAAACAAACAGAAAACUGAAAAAGAGAAUUUUCGCGGAAACUUUUUUCUACCUUUUUGAGCAACCAAACAGUCCCUUAUAAUUUCCUAUGGUACGAUUUAUAAAAUAUUUAGUUUUUUCCAAAUUUUAAAAUAUUGGUAUGCAUAGAAUGAUUUGAUUAACUGGAUUUAGGCUCAUGGGCCCAUUGCAGGUGCUUCCCAAAGGGUUUAGGCCUUUGUAGCUGGACUUGGGGUCAUGGGCCAUUUGUAGCUGGACUUGGGUUCAUGGGCCAGUUUCCGAAUUUGCGGAGUCGAGGCGUUAGCAAAGAAAUCGAAAUUGGGUGAGCAUAUAUAGUUCCGUUUGGUUCGGGUUAUAUAAGUAUAAAUUUUUAUUAUAUGAUUCUAAUUAGUUCAACCUAACUAUAAAACUCAACUCAAUUACAAAAAAAUUCAUUUAUAUAUAAAGCUUCAACCAUAAGAUUAAAGUCUAAUAAAUAAGUUAGAUCUCAUAAACUUAUUUUUUAUAUAUAUAUUAUUUUUAAUUUUUUUAAUUUGUUAUUCGUGAGCCAGCUAGCUCGUGUUUGAUUUAUUUAUGAAAUAAUUUUUUGACUCGGGUACUUUAAUGAGUUAGCUCGUGUUUGACUUGUUUAUGAAAUGAAUCGAACAAGGUGGUGUGGGGAGAGUUUUAUUUUUUUUUUUUUUUCCCUAAUUGGUUGAGAACUUUCAGGCGAAUUCUGGAAUCUCCAUCAAAGGAGAUCUGCUUCCAAAAGAAGAAUAAUUGAGCUGUCUGGCCGCGCAGCAGAUCGGGACAAAAGACGCACGCGUCAGUCGGAAUCUAAGGCUGUCAGGCCGGUGCCUUUCAUUUAUUCAAAAACAAACACGUGCCUGCUGGGCCCCACCCUCCCUACAAUAUAAUAUAUCAUCAAAUUCGAUGAUCGAUUUCUCCAUAGGCUACAAACCACAAGCUUUCCUCUUUUUUAUUUUUUCCCUUUUUUUUGCUAAAAUACAAAAAAAAAAAUUAUAAAUACAUAUUUUUUAUAUUUUUAAAAGAAUCUAUAUUUUAUUCUAUUAAAAUUUUGAAAAUAUUUGUAGAAGAUUAUAGUUGUAAUAAAGAAGAUGAAAUGAUGAAAUUACACUAACUUAUUCUAUAAAAAAAUAUAUUUUUUAAUAUAUUUAUCUUAUUUUUAAUAAUAUUUUUAAUAUAACGUAUAAAAAUGAACAGUGAUAGAAUUCUAAUUGAAAGUGGCUAAAUCAAGAAAAAAAAUUAAAAAAUGCGUAUUCUAUAUCUUAGCCUUUCCUUUUUUUUCUUCUUUGAAAAAAUAUAUCCUUCUGUUUUAUUGUCAAGCUUUUGCUUAAAGAAAUGCUAGAUAUGUAUCCCAGCAAUAAGGAUGUACAGUUUAUACCCUUAUUCUAAAAUUCAUACAUUAAAUGUUUAAAAUUUUAAAAUUUUAUUUUUUAAAAAUUGACCAGAUAAUUUAAUAGGCUAAAUUUGUCAAAUAUUUAGCCAACUAAAUUAGUACCACUCGAUAAAAUUUUACAAAUAUAUUUCUCAACUGCAUAAUUAAAUAAAUUAUUUAUAAUUGCAUGGCUUAAAUUUGCCAAUAUUGGGAAGCCAAGUGCCUAAAUUGUAGCAAUUUGCAUCUACUGUAGGGAACUCAGCUCCUACUUGUUUGGAUGUUUUCCAUAAUUGAAGACAAGGACUUGUGUGUGGACCCAGAAUAUAAAUAGCUUUAAGGAGCUAGGCUCCUCACUACAACAGAAUUAGAUUAUAGGGACAUAUGUUUGGGACACUUUUGAGUAAGUGUCCUAUUUAUGCUAAAAUUUAAAAACACAUCUACUAAUGCCUAAAUAUAAAAUCCAAUCCAAUCAAAAAUAAAAGAUUAUUCUACUCAACCCACCACACUCAGUCCAUUUGGCCCGAUUACAAACAGAAAAGAAAAAAAAAAAAAUCAAGUACCAUCUUUUCUUCUCUCUUCACUCAAUCCACUGAAAUUCUAGAUGAAGAGUCUUUACUGUCGUCCUCCUCCGCCACCGCAGCCAACGAGAUAGAGUUUCGGUCGUUGCUAAAUGUUUAAAUAAGUGUUGAUAAAUUAGCAGCAUUCUUUUAGAUUGUAGCGACACUCUUUAACUGUCACUAUAUACCUAGCGACCCCACAUAUAGCAACACUUUUUAAAAGUGUCGGUAAUUUUAGCUAGCAGCACUUUUUUGACAUGUACCUAUAUUUAAAAGUGUCGCUAUAGACCAUCUUUGUUGUAGUGCCUAUAAUUAAUAUCUAUAAUAUCAAAGUUUCCAUAUUAUAGUCUUACUUUUGAUUUAAAGUGUUAAAUUUAACUAUCCAUAUUUUUAAAAUUAAUCUAGAAUAUUUAAAAUUUUUAGAAAUAAAUUUUUAUAUUUUUUUAAUUUAAUUUAUUUUAUGAUCAAACUAUUUCAAAAUUAUUAAUUUUUAAUAGUUAUUAUGACGAGUUCAUAAUUUAACUGUGCAGAAGAAUCUAAAUUUAUUCAAAUUUUAAUAGAAAACACUUUAAACUAUCUAGAUCAAGGUUGGCAUCCUUGAUCUUAAAUUUAAAUUUUAUUCAUAAGAACUUCAUAUACUCUAGAUCAUAUUUAACGAUAUGAAUUAUUGAUUAGAACAUUUUAAGAUCGAAAACGAGAUUAUAGUACCGAAGCUUUGGUACUAUAGAUAGUAUAGUAGGCGCUCCCGUUCAUAGCUUUAGAUACUAACUCUUUACAUUCAUUGAUGAACUUUACUUAUAUAUGGUUAAAACUUUUCGUAAUAUUCCAACCACUGCAUGGAUCAUUUGGUGGGUUGGAUGAUAUCAGAAUAAAUCCACAUAAGAUUAUCUUUUGUAAAAUUCAUUCUUAUAUAAUUAAAUAUUUAGUUUUGGUAAAAUUUUUAAGGGAACUCGUACUUGACUGUAGUGCAAAAGAAAACAUGAGAAAUUAGCCGUUAGAAAUAGACUUAUAUAGAGAAAGAUUUUUUGACAAAUAGAGCUAUAUAGAGAAAGAUUUUUUUGACAGUUAUUCAAUGUAGGAAUAAUACCAUGACGAUCAAACGUUUUCAUAUUAUAUGUAAGUAGGGAAAUUUUUGAUCCAAUUUCAACAUAAUAUUAUUAUAUUAUCUUAGAUUAGAUAUUUAUCCAUCAAAUAUCAAUCAACAUUAUUGGUUUGAUGAUAGAUCUUACUAUCCAACCAACUAUCCACUCAACUUGGCCUAGAGAACUACUAUUAUACUCGGAGAUCACUAUCAUGCUAACCGCACACACUACAACAAAAGCGGUCUAUAGCGACACUUUUAAAUGUAGGUUCAUAUCAAAAAAGUGCUGCUAGCUAAAAUUACCGACACUUUUAAAAAGUGUUGCUAUAUGUGGGGUCGCUAGGUAUAUAGUGACAGUUAAAAAGUGUCACUAUAACCUAAAAGAGUGCUGCUAAUUUACCAACACUUAUUUAAGUAUUUAGCAACCGCUGAAACUCUAUUUUGUUGGCUGCGGUGGCGGAGGAGGACGACAGGAAAGGCUCUUCGUCUAGAAUUUCAGUGGAUUGAGUGAGGAGAGAAGAAAAGAUGGUAAUUGAUUUUUCUUUUUUUUUCUUUUCUGUUUGUAAUCGAGUCAAAUGGACUGGGUGUGGUGGGUUGAGUAGAGUAAUCUUUUAUUUUUGGUUGGAUUGGGCUUUAUAUUUAGACAUAAGUAGAUGUUUUUUUAAGUUUUAGCAUAAAUGGGACACUUACUCAAAAGUGUCCCAAACAAGUGUCCCUAUAACCUAAUUCUGUUGUAGUGACAUCUCUUCAUCUAACGGUCAAAAAUUUAUGAAUACAAAAAGGGUCUACACUCAUAAGGUAUCGUUUGGUUCGGAGAUAAGCAAAAAGUGACUAUUCCAGGAAUAGAUAUAAAUUGAGGUAUAAAUGGGGAUUAGAACAAUUUUGCGUUUAGAUGAAAAUUGAAUUAUUCUUGAUAAUAAAAAAAAUAACGUUUGAUUAGGUAAGAUGGAAUAAGAAUUAAAGUAGAUAGUUAUAAAUAAAAAAUAAUGGUAUUAUGCCUUUCUUGUAUCAGUAACUAUUUUAAAUUUUAUAUUUGUAUAUUUAUAAUUUUAGAAUUUAAAUAUAUACUUUUAAAUUCUAAAGUUUCAAAAUCUCAAAUUAUACAUUUUAAAAAAUUCAAACACGUGCCUAAGAUAUAAUAGCCCCUACUAUCAUAUAUAAUUUAUAAUAAUAUUAAUAUUUAAUUUAGGCCGUGGAAUUAUACUAAUUAUUAGUAAAACUCUCUUUUUGUUAAUCAAGUUUUAUUAACCCUGUCGGAAGAAAAUUUGAUAGGGUCAGGAUGCAUAUGUCGGUUAGGUUGGGAUCCCCCUAGAGGUUGGGUGGUCCCCACUUGGUUAUAGUAUUUUAACAAUGGUUAAAAAAUAAUGAAAAGAGUUUGAUCCAAAGGCUAAAAAACUGGGUACACACUAAAAUUUUGCCUACUAAUGUAGCCCCGAUCCAACUUAUAUAUAUAUAUAUUAUAUUAUAUAUAUAUAUAUAUAUAUAUAUAUAUAUAUAUAAUAUAUACUAUAUAUAACAAGGAAUUAGGCUACUAUACUAUCUAUAGUACGCGGAGCUCCCGUCACAUAUAGAAAAUGUUAGUUUUCGAUUUAGGGGUUCAAAUCAACGAGUCCACACCCGUUAAAUAUGAUCUAGGGUAUAUGAAAGUUCUUAGGAAUAAAUAUGUUAGUUUUUUUCAAUAUCGUUUACUUAGUAAAGUAAAUAUGUCAAAAAUGGGACAGGCUAGGAAUUGAAUACUCUUUAAAAUUUGAGCAUAGGACUUUUAAAUUCAAGAUCAAGAAUGUUAACCUUAAUCUAUAUAGUUUUAAAGGAAUUUAUCUCAUCAAAAUUGUUGAAGAAAAUUUGAUGUCUUCUACACCGUUGAAACUCCAAAACUCGUCAUAAUAGCCAUUGAAAUUUGCAAUGUUGAAAUAUUUUGAUUCAUAAAGUAAACAUGUCGAAAAUAUAAAAAUUUGUAUUUCUAAAAACUUAAAACCCUAGAUCAAUUUUAACGCGUGAUGGAUCAUUGAUUUGAAACGCACCGAAGAGCGAAAAGACAACAUAGUGGUACGGGAAGCUCCCGUACUAUAAGAUGAUUAGUAGCGGACUCUAUAUUACAAGUAUCACCCAUGAUACUCUGUGUGUUUUUAGGCCAUUGGAUCACUUUUUUACUAACUAGAGUCGCUUUGGAUCAAAACACGUAUUCACCUACCACCACGCUACACAUCGCAUCUCGAACUCACAUCUCUCCAUCCAAGCGGCUAAAAAACAGACAAGUAUCAUUUGGGUGAUACUUUUACAAGUGAUUCUAGCCCUACUCUAUUAUAUAUAUAUAUUAUAAUUAGGCGGAAUGACUAUUAAUUGUAAAACGCUCUUUUUUACUAUCAAGUUUUUACUUUGGCAUGAAAAUUAUAGGGUCAGGCUAUGAUAUUAGUCGGUUAGAGUUGAAUGAUCCCCCUAGGAAUUGAGUGGUCCCACUUGGGUUUGUAUUUAACCAAAUGAUUAGAAAUAGAUGAAUAAGAGUGAAUCCAAAGGUAAAAACUGGCUGAACGACCAGUAGAAUUGUUGCUUUACUAAUAGUAGCCCAGUCCGAUAUAUAUAUACUAUAGAGAGAGAGUGAUGGAGUAGGAAUACUCUCGAUAGUAAACUGUAGGCAGCGUUGUAUAUCGAGUUGUGUUUUCGAUGAUAAAGCUUCCAAAUUACGAUCGGCCCGUAGAUUAUGAUCUUAAACCAUUUAAACGACUAGGAAAUAACAAAUUCAAUGCACUUUCGGAUAUUGUUCUUUAUCCAUCUAUGGCUGAACAGCAAUGAAUGGUUGAAAAUGAAUAUUCUUUAAAAAAUGAUGAUAGGAGUCUUGUAAUCAAGAUCAAGGAGUAUGAUCUGUUGUUUAAAUAGUUAAGAAUUUGUCUAAUCAAAAAUUUCAAUUGUUUGGAUUCUUUACACCGUUAUAAACCGAGAAAACAUCUCAUUAUUCCAGUCAUUAAAAUUAUUAAAAGUUGAACCCUUUGUAUAAUUAGGGCAAAUAUGUCGAAGAAGAUUUGAAAUUGUAUUCUAAACACUUUAACGUUGGUAUUAGAUCAUGUUAAACGGGCCGAUGUCAAUUAUGGAAGCUCUAGUCAUCGAAAACAACUCGGAUAGUAAAAUGCCCCGCUUGACUAUCGCAGGUAUUCCAGUACUCUAUAUAUAUAUAUAUAUAUAUAUAUAUUAUAUAUAUAUUAUAUAGUGCCAGGGUGCUGUACUUUGCUCUGCUGCUAUUAAGAGCACAGCAGAUCCUUAUGUACCUAACUUUCUAACCACUCAGCAAAUUUGAUGGAGAUUAGAAUGAAGAGGCGAAUAGAUAUUCGAGAAAAUGUUAAGGAGCAGAGAAAUUGAGACAGCCCAAUUUUUGUCAAUAUCUCUUCGCUAUCUCUAUCUAACCAUCCAUAACAAGUUCCAUCAACUUGAUAGGUGGUUCAGAAGUUUAGGCCAAAAAGACUGCUGUACUCCUAAUAGUACAGUAGUCCUAUAUAUAUAUAUAUAUAUAUGUCUAAAUAGUUUUUUUUUUUUCAUAAACUAGGCUGUAUAGAAUAAUAAAAUUAGACCUCUCAAUUUUAUGGUCGGCGACCAAGAUAUCAACCUACUCUAUUAGAACGUGAUUGUAACCCAUAUAUUGCUUGAUUGUGGCACGUAGGUGGAGAAGUAAAAAAAAUAAACAUUGAUAGAAACAUUUGCGCCUAGUGUCCUAACUUUAAAGACCAAUAAGAGAUAAUGUUAGGGAAGUGUUGAGAUAAUUGGCUACGAACAAUUGCAUGCAGGAUUGGACAAGAGCUAUCAAAGAUACCAUUGUCAAGUAGCCACAAUAAAUAUGAGCGUAGAUAAAGACUAAUUAAAUCACAAGCAAUAAAGCUAUUAUCAUCAAAGGAGUGGUCGAAAAUAAUUAUGACUUAUAAAUACAAACUAUAUCUACAGAUCUCUUAUAUAUUUAUUAUUUAAAAAACUAUAUAAUAUGAUAAAAACGAUACAGAAAUAAUCUUAACAAUCCCAUUCACUAUAAGAUGGGAAUUAGAUGAAAUAUACUACGUGUGAAAAUAACUGUCUCUAAUAUUAUAGUAGUUAAAAGAUUACAAACGUGUGUGGUUUGAAUUCCACAUAAAUCACAACCACAUAAUAAAGACAUGCAAAUGCCACCAAUGAUUAUACUUUUAACUACAUAUAUAAAUGAUAAAACUUCAAAUACCACCUAUAUGGUUUCAUACUUUCUCAUUUUAGUACUUUGUGGUUUAAAGUGUAUCAAUUUAGUGUCCGGUGAUUUCAUUUUUAUCUUUUUAUUAUCGAUUUUACUAAAUUUUUCGUUAAAUUAGUGACAAAGUUAAAAGCUAAAGGAUAUUAAAGUGAAUAUUCGAUAAACCUAGGUGAGGUAUCUUAAAUUUUUUGUAUAUAAUUUAACAAAAUAUUAACGAAAAAGCUGACGAAAAGAUAAAAAUGAAACCACAGGACACUAAUUUGAUACACUUUAAACUACAUGAUAUUAAAGUGAGAAAGUGCGAAACCACAUAGGUGGUAUUUGAAGUUUACCCUAUAUAAAUCAAUGUUUGAUAACAAGUUUAUUUGCACAUUUGGUCCUGAAAACUACAAGGCAGAUAAUAGUUCGGUUCUUAAACUUUAAUUUAUUAUAAUUUCUUGCUUGUACUUUCAGAAUUUAUUACAACCAAGCUCUAAAAUUCAAUUUAGUUAACUAAAUAUUAAUAUACUACUAAUGUACAAAUGAUGUAAUGAUGUUAUGAUUGGUAAUACACUACGGGUGCAUUUAGUUCGCGCUAUCUUUUUAAGAUUUCUAUUAAUCCAACAGAAAUAAAAAAAUAUGACGGUAUUUGGCUAAACGCACUAAGUAAUAUAGUUGAUUCAUAUUUCCAGCUAAGUUUAUUUCUAAAUGAAAUAAAAGAUACGAAUAGCAUUCUAUCUAUCUCUCAAAAAAAAAAUAUAUAUAUAUAUAUAUAUUUAUAAUUCACAACAACCACAACAACCAAAAAGAAUCUUUGACAUUACAACCCCCAAAUAAUAGGAAAAACUUCUUUACUUGGGCCUGUGAAUCACCAAUAGGCAUCAAAAUCCAAAUUAAGACUGGGCUCCAUUUGCUCCAUGAUUGCAUUGUGUCGAUCCCACGCUUGUGCUAGAAUCACUUUCUUUCACAGUCGCCUCUUUAUGGGAGAAUGGAGAUAGCCCACCUCUAUGGCUCUAUGCUGGCCUUUCUCUCUACCCCUACCUCUAUAAAUCCCACCCUGUUCCUCCUCACACCAUGCACAACAACAACUACUAUAUAUUUCUCAUUAAUUAAUUCGAUCUCUCUUGAAUCCAUGGCUCGCCUUUUGCCUCUCCUCUCCUUUCUUUUGGUGAGCAAAUUCAUAUACGCGACAUGCAUGCUCUCGUUAAAACAAGUGAUUCUGUAGAAGCUCUAGCUAAGUUAAAUCGGCAUGCGAUAACAUGACAUAAGUUGUGUUUUUAAGUGGAUCUAGAUAUAUAUGAUUAGCGGUGCGUAAAUUAAGCAGAAAAUAUUUGAUGUUCGCGCAUAUAUACAAUGUGCGGCACCAGCUUAGUACCUUUUAGACCUAGAAAUGAUCAAAAUAACUGUAAUUCGUAGAAUUAUAAUUUUUUUUAAUUUUUUACUUUCUUCGCGGUUUUAUUUGAAAGAUAAUGUUGUCUUUUUCCUUCGCAAUUUAUUGUUUUAUUUUAUUUUUUAUAUAUAACAAAUUACUGAUUGAUAUUUGUAUAUUUCAGCUGGCUAUUGCAGUAGGAGCGAGUCAUGCAGCUUCGCCUGCAGAGGUCUACUGGCAGAGCGUCCUGCCCAACUCUCCCAUGCCGAGCGCAAUCCGCGACCUGCUGCUCUCUGGUUGCUCUCUCUCUCUCUCACACACAAUUAUUUUUUCUUAAAAUUUUAAAACACUAAAUGACAGUAUUUGUCUUUAAUUCCUAUUCAAAGUUAGUCAACUUUUACCAGGUUUCAAAAUAACGUAUCUCACUAUAGUUAGCAAAAGAAGGUUAAUAUUUUUAGUUAAGUUUAUUUCUAAAAAAUAAAUAAAGCAAGUUAUAUACUAUCUUUUUCUUUUUUUAAACAAAAUUCACUACAUUUAGCAAAUUUUGAUAAAAGUUAUAAUCAAAUGAUCUCACAUCGUAAGAAAACAAAUUAAUGCCUAUCGGAUCUAUUUGGGUGGAAACGUACAUGAAAAAAAGAAAAAAUAAAACUGUGAUUUGGAAAAAAAAAAAAAAAAAAAAAAAAAAAAAAAAACUCAUUUUUCCACGUUUUGGAAUGAAAGUUUAAUAGAGAAAAAAAAAUGAAGAGCAAAAAAAAUUACUCAAAAUAACAACUUUUUCUUACCUCCAAAUUAUGAGAGAAAAAUAACAUUCUAAAAAUGUUUUUUAAUUAUUUUUUAAAAGGAAAAACUUCAAAAACCUUCCCUGUGGUUUCACACUUUUUUAUUUUAAAACCAUGUGAUUUAAAGCGUAUCAAGUUAGUACCAUGUGGUUUCUCACUUUAUCACUUUAGUACUCUGUGGUUUAAAGUAUAUCAAGUUAGUAUUCUGUGGUUUUAUUUUUGUAUCAAGUUAGUACUCUAUGGUUUUAUUUUUGUAUCAAAUUAGUAGUACCCUAUGAUUUUUAAACCACAGGAUACUAAAGUGAUAAAGUGCGAAACCACAAGGUACUAACUUAAGACACUUUAAAUUAUAGGGUACUAAAAUGAAAAAGUGCAAAAGCACAUGAUACUAAGUUGAUACACUUUAAACCAUAAGGUAUUAAAGUGAGAAAAAAUGAAACCACGGGGGUAAUUAAAGUUUUUCCUUUUUAAAAUAAGCGGGAACUUUAAUUAUGAUCAUGCAUGCACACAAGCCGUAUCGAAUCUCAGUUACUACCCCUUAAUUCAAACAGAUAUAUGAUAAAAAUAUAUGUAUAUAUAUAUAUAUUACAAAUUAUGCUAUUAUAUUAUCGAUGGUAUCACGCAUUUGAUGUUAUUAGACUUUCGACCCUUAGAUAAAAGAAUGUGGAGUUAGAAUGAUAAUAAAUUUUUAGAAUUGAAUGGAUGAUUGGUUGAACAGUAUGAUAUAACGAAUAAAAAUAAUAAAAAAAUUAAUUUUGAUGGUGAAAAAUUGAAUAGCACCGAGCGUACGGUACUAUCGAUUCAAUACAAUAUUUUUAAAUAUUUACCUCUUUUUUCAAACAUACAGGGAAAGUAAGCACCUCAGAGAACGUAGACGGAGUAGGCUCCGUGUUCUUCCUGGAGAAGGACCUGCACCCGGGCUCAAAGAUGACCCUGCAUUUCACCCGGACCACCUCCGCCGCACUCCUCCCGCGCCGCGUCUCUGACUCGGUCCCUUUCUCCUCCGCCAAGCUCCCGGAGAUACUCUCCCGCUUUUCCGUCGACGCCGCCUCUGCAAGGGCCGACGCCAUCAAGAGCACCCUCGCCGAGUGCGAGGCCCCAGCCCUCGCCGGCGAGGCCAAGCUCUGUGCCACCUCGCUCGAGUCCAUGGUCGACUUUGCCACCGCCAGCCUCGGCACCCGCGACUUACAGGCCGUGUCCACCGCUGUUGGCCGUGAGGGUACGACACUGUAAAAUAACCGUUUUUCUCUGAAACCUAAAAAAAAAAAUCUCCUGUAAAAAUAGAAAACAAGAAAAUUUUACGUACUAGAGAGCGUCCCAACAGAAAGACAGUCUGAUCAAUCUCAGCCGGCAAAACUUGAGAGAUAUUUUUUAAUAUUUUAUAUUUGACAGGCACGCCGAAGCAGGCAUAUACGGUCGAGAGCGUAAAGAAGAUGUCCGCCCCAGGAUCCGAGCUGGUGGCGUGCCACGGCAUGAAGUACGCGUACGCGGUGUUCCACUGCCACACGACGACCGCGGCCGCCUACACCGUAUCGAUGGCGGGCGCCGACGGGACGAGGGUGAAGGCGCUCGCAGCGUGCCACACCGACGCGGCGGCCGGGGUCGAGGAGGCGUUCAAGAAGCUCAACGUCAAGCCCGGGAGCGUGCCGGUGUGCCACUUCCUUCCCCAGGAUGAUCUCCUGUGGAGCCGCAAUUAACAUGGCUGAUCAGGACAUGCGAAUUAUAACGUGUAAUGGACGGCUAUAGAUUAUAAUCCGGUCUGUGAUCCACGGUUUAUUGGGCCAGCUUAUUGGUGUACUAGCGUGUACGUGUGUUGUACUAUGUUUUCUGUGUCCAUGCAGACAUGGUUUGUCCUCGUCCAUAUCUAAACUGUAUCCAUGUUUCCUCUAUGUUAUAUAAAUAAGAAAACUUAUUUUAAAAUGUUGGUUUCCUGUAGAAACGAAUGCGUGCAACUAAUUGAGAUCUCACUUGAAAAUGCCUUGGGCAAAUGCACUCAUGUCUAUGUGAUAGUGAAUUCCUGCCAUCAUUUUAUAAUAUUUUUUUUAAAAAAAGAACUCAAAGAUAUUUAAAUUAUUUUUCAAAAAGAAUCUAUAUUGUCAAAAUUAGUUUUGAUAUUACCAGAAAAGGCUAGGCAAUAGCAGAAACUUCUGUGGCAAGUGGCAACAUCAGUUUCCAAUUUCAGAUAUCUUUUGAACUAUCAAAUCCAGGAGAAGAUAAUGUGUUUCCCAACUGGGCCUUAGCAAGUUAACGGGUUUGUUCGGCAGUGCUAAGUGGGCCCGAACGAUGAUGGGCCUCAUAGACCCUAUGGGUUGUGUACUGUAAUCGGAGCCGGAUCUUGAUGCGCUCGAUUCUGCUCCGCAUCAGGUUUAGUUUGGUCCUAAUUUGACUAGGGGUCAAACGCGAGUGGUGCGCUUGGGUGCGAGAUCCUCGGGCACAGACGACUCAGGGCGCCGUGCGGUGGAAUUGUAUCCCGUGCACGGCCCACGUGCCGCAAAUGGGCCGGAGGCUAGCCCGCCCGGCCACCCAAAAUCGGCCGUGCUUGUGGCCGGGGCCAAAAUUCUUGGAACCCGGCGCCAGCACGGCCGCUUUGGCACCGCACUGUUGCACCGGCCGUGCGGGCCGGCCGGGCAGUUCGGGCAGCCCUUUUUUUAUUUUAUCAAUUUUAUUUUAAAAAUUUUAAUAUUUUAAAAAUUAAAAAUAAAAAAUAUUUUUUAAAAAAAAUAUAUAUCAAUGAGCCUGGAAGAGGCCCAAAGCCCAAACUCCCAUGCAUUGGGAGUUGGACCAUUGGGAGUUGGAUUGUGUGUUGGAUUGUAAGCCACUCCCAUCAUUGGGAUGUUGGGGUUUGUAACAAGGCCUUGGGAGUUGGUUCCCAACUCGGGUUAGCCAACUCCUACGCCUAUAGCCCAAUCCAUGCCUGGCCGCGGCUCAAAGACGGCCUGCCACAUCGGCCGGCCGUGCUGUGCCGUGGGCCGGGCCCGGGCCAAGGUAAUUCUCAGGCCGCACGGCAAAGCCGCCGGGUCGUGCGGGGCCGUCCGGCCAGCGGCCACAGUAAGCUAAGGCCCCAGCACACUAGGUUGAUGCCGGCCGGGCUGGCAACGGCCCGCUACACGUACUGCGUGGCCGUGCCUGGCCCAGCCGACUCUCGUGCCGGGCCAGGCGGGCCGCGGGCCGCCCGGCCCGUUUGACACCCCUACAGACGACUCAGGGCGCCGUGUGGUGGAAUUGUAUCCCGUGCUCUCUCUCUCUCUCUCUCUCUCUCUCUCUCUCUCUGUUUCUCCCACGUUACGAUCCAUUUCCCCAACUCGAUCGCCCCCGACGAAACCCUCGUCGUCGUCAACCUCCUCCCCCCUCUCCGCCGCGCCAUGAAACCCUCGCAGAAUAAGAAGAAGAGCAGGAAGAAGAAGCCGAAGCCCUCUUCUCCCCUUCCGCCGCCCUCCCAAAGAUCCGACGCUGAAUCGAAGGGGGACGAAGGCGAGGAGAGGAAGGACCUGGAUUGGUUGAUCGACGAUACUAACCAAUCCAUUGAUUGUUAGCUAAAAAAAGAUUAUUUUAUAUAUUUUUUCUCAACUUUGAAAAUGUUUUUUAAAUUUUCUCUCACUUGGAGUCUGAUGAGAUUUUAAGCUCAAAGAUUUAAGUAUCCUAGUACGGAAUCAUGUCAAAAUUUCAUGCGUGUCGAAUAGUAUCGAUACGUGUAUACUGGUCAUAAAAAAUAUAUUUGUGCCGACACAUAAUGUCAUGAAAUAUUUAUUUUUUUUAGCAAUAUAAUAUUACAACCGUUAAUUAUAUAUCUUUAUCAAAUAUUUUAAAUUUUAUUGAAAAAAAUUAUUUACUAAUUUAAAAAAUAUAGAGUUUUGAGCUGUGCAAUCAGUACGAGGGCAGUAUCGUGCCGAUAUCUUGUUGACAUGAUAUAGUACGAUGGAUACGGCCGGUAUUGAUGGAUAUACUUAAAUUCUUUCGUUUAAACUUGUUGGUAGCCAAAUUCCCUAAUCCCUGACCCGGUCAAAGAUACCCCUCAGGAAGCGCGUCGGGAUGCGAAACAGCUGCGAAUAGUGACCCUCGAAGUUUGCACCCUUCGACUGGAUCAAGCGAUUCGGCUAAUGAGGGAUCGGAUCAGCCGAGUUCAAAAAUCUCUACUUUUAAAUCUGUUCGGCUGGAUGAGCCGAAUGUAUGGACUGUGCAGGGAUCAAUGUCGGCAGAAGAGCCGAAUGGAAGAAGUAUACAGUAACUGGUCGGCUGAAAGAGCCGAAUACCUAUAUAUACAUAUUAAUAAAACAAAGUGUGCCUGAAGGGCAUACAGACUCUGCAAAUAUGUAGUUUACAACAGAGUGAUACCCGUGGGGCAGACAGACUUCAGAAUUCUAUUUAAAAGCUACUCCUAUGAAAACAAUAAAUGCGAAAAAGAAAAUAUUACAUUUAGACUACUUCUAGAAAGCAAUAAAUGCAGAAAAUGAAAGAUAUGAAAAUGCGGCGGUCUUCUCGUUUACAGAAGAGAAAGACCGCUAUUGCAGGCUUUGAAAUUACUAUUUAUAGUAAUAUCAACUCACAUUAUUGGUUGGUUAAAAGUAGUGGGGGGAGUGGUUGUAACCAUGAUCGUGGAGGUUACGCCCACUCCUCAUAGAAGUUACGCCCUAUCGUAGAAGUUACGCCAACUUUUCAUGGAAGUUACGGCCCACUUCUCAACCGUUCUCGCCUAAACCUUCAGUCGCCUUAUUGCCUGCCGACUCCUGAUGUGCUACGCAGGGACGAAGCCAGAAUUCAAUCACAAGGGGGGCCAAAAUAUGUACAAAUAAAAAGUUUAGCAGAUAAAUAAAAUUUUAACUACUCAAAUUUUUAAUAAAAAAAUUUAGUGAUUAGAUAAUUAAUGUUAAAAAAUAUUAAAUUUAUUUUUUUAAUUUACACUUGCUUAACUUCUAAUUAUUUUAUUUGUAUUAUUUCAUUCAAAUAAUUUAAGAAUUUUACUAAAUCUAAUAAAAAUUUAGUUAGAAUUUAAUUUUUUUUAAAUUUUUGUUAAUAAAAUAAUAACAACCAAUGACUAAUAUCUAACAGAGCUAUUAAAUUUAGCAUACUAUUUUAUUUAGUUAAAUAAAUUAGCUCAUCAAAAUAAUUGGAAAGUUAAGAAUGUAUAAAUAAAAUAUUUAAAGUUGAAAGGACUUAUUUCAAAAUGCACUAUAAUUAAAAGGUUCUUAAUAUAUUUUCACCUAUAAAACACAUAAGAAGAGAGAGAGAGCUCUAUAUUAGCACUAAAAACUUUUUACAAAAUAGGCCGAUAUAUUUUAAAAAUUAACUGAAAAUAUAUAAACUACCAAAGAACUAUAAAGUAAAUAUUGAAAAGUUGAAGAGGGUCAUAGCUCCUUUGGGUCUAUAUAUGGAGUCUUGGCCCACAAGGCAACAAUUCUUUUCAAAAAUUUUCACUUUGGUCCCCUAAAUUUACAAUAUUUUAAUUUUUUUAAUAGCUUACUAGUGGAUUGUUCUGUAAUUUUAAAAAUGGGGGGGGGGUAUGGCCAUUGUCGGCCCCCACAUGGCUCCGUCCCUGGUGCUACGUAUCUUUAUUGAUUCAUACGUGGUUUACUUAAUUUUAAUUUUGGCAUCAAUAAAACUCAUGACUUCUUAAUUUACUACCAUGCACGUAAACUUUAUUUUCAGCAUUUAUAAUUCACAACAACCAAAACAACCAGAAAGAAUCUGUGACAUUACACCGGCCCGUGAAUGACCAUAGGCGUCAAAAUCCAAAUUAAUACUCGGCUCCAUUUGCUCCAUGAUUGCAUUGGGUCGAGCCCAUGCUCGUGCUAGAAUCACUUUCUCUCACAGUCGCCUCUUUAUGGGAGAUAGCCCACCUCUAUGGCUCUAUGCUGGCCUUUUUCUCUACCCCUACCUCUAUAAAUCCAACCCUGUUCCUCCUCACACCAUGCACAACAACAACUACUAUAUAUUUCUCAUUAAUUAAUUAAUUCGAUCUCUCUUGAAUCCAUGGCUCGCCUUUUGCCUCUCCUCUCCUUUCUUUUGGUGAGCAAAUUCAUAUACGCGACAUGCAUGCUUUCGUUAAAACAAGUGAUUCUGUAGAAGCUCUAGCUAAGUUGAAUCGGCGUGCGAUAACGUGACAUAAGUUGUGUUUUUAAGUGGAUCUAGAUAUAUAUGAUUAACUGUGCGUAAAUUAAGGAGAAAACAUUUGAUGUUCGCGCGUAUAUACAACGUGCGGCACCAGCUUAGUACCUUUUAGACCUAGAAAUGAUCAAAAUAACUGAAAUUCGUAGAAUUAUGAUUUUUUUAAAUUUUUACUUUCUUCGUGGUUUUAUUUGGCAGAUAAUGUUGUCUUUUUCCCUCACAAUUUAUUAUUUUAUUUUAUUUUUUAUAUAUAACAAAUUAUUGAUUGAUAUUUGUAUAUUUCAGCUGGCCAUUGCAGUAGGAGCGAGACAUGCAGCUUCGCCUGCAGAGGUCUACUGGCAGAACGUCCUGCCCAACUCUCCCAUGCCGAGCGCAAUCCGUGACCUGCUGCUCCCUGGUUGCUCUCUCUCUCUCUCUCAAUUAUUUUUUCUUAAAAUUUUAAAAUAUUAAAUGACAGUGUUAAAAUUUUAAAAUAUUAAAUAACAGUAUUUGUGUUUAAUUCGUAUUCAAAGUUAGCCAACUUUUGCGAGGUUUUAAAAUAACGCAUCUCACAUAGUUAGCAAAAGAACUUAUGAGUAUCCCAACUAGUUAAUACUUUUAGUUAAGUUUAUUUCUAAAAAAUGAAUGAAACAAGUAAUAUACUAUUUUUCUCUUUUAAAAAAAAAUCACUAGAUUUAGCAAAAUUUGAUAAAAAUUAUAAUCAAAUGAUCUCACAUCGUAAGAAAACAAAUUAAUGCCUAUCCCAUCUAUUUGGUUGGAAACGCACGCAUGAAAAAAAAAUAAAUAAAUAAAACUGUGAUUUGGAAAAAAAAAAAAAAAAAGAAAGAAAAAAACUCAUCUUUCCACGUUUUUUGGAAUGAAAGUUUAAUAGAGAAAAAAAUGAAGAGCAAAAAAAAUUACUCAUAAUAACAACUUUUUCUUAUCUCCUAAGUAUGAGAGAAAAAUAACAUUCUAAAAAUAUUUUUUAAUUAUUUUUAAAAAUAAGCGGGGGACUUCAAUUAUAAUCAUGCAUGCACACAAGCGCUAUCGAAUCUCAGUUACUACCCCUUAAUUCAAACAGUAUAUAUAUAUAUAUAGAGUCCGGCUACUAUACUAUCUAUAGUACGGGAGCUUCCGUACUAUAGUGUCGUUUUCGAUCUUCGGGCGUUCAAAUCAACGAUCCACACCGUUAAAACUGAUCUAGGAUAUUUAAAGUUUUUAGAAAUAAAUUUUUAUAUUUUUUCGACAUAGUUUACUUUAUGAUCAAAACAUUUUAAAAUUGUCAAUUUUCAAUGGCUAUUAUGACGAGUUGGGAGUUUAACGGUGUAGAAGAAUCUAAAUUUCUUCAAAUUUUGAUAGAAAAUACUUUAAACUAUAUAGAUUAAGGUUAACAUUCUUGAUCUUGAAUUUAAAAGUCCUAUGCUCAAAUUUUAAAGAGUAUUCAAUUCCCACCGUCAUUUUGACAUAAUUUAUUUACUAAGUAAACGAUGUCGAAAAAAUAAAAAUUUAUUUCUAAAAACUUAAAUACCCUAGAUCAUUUUUAACGUAUGGAUCGUUGAUUAAUGCCCAAGAUCGAAAACUACACUAUAGUACGGGAGCCUCCACUAUAUAUAUAUAUAUAUAUAUAUAUAUAUAUAUAUAUAUAUAUAUAUAUAUAUAUAUAUAUAUAUAUAUUACGAAUUAUGCUAUUAUAUUAUCGAUAGUAUCAAAUAUUUGAUGCUAUUAGAUUUUCGACCUUUAAAUAAAAGAACGUGUGAUUAGAAUAAUAACAAAUUCUUCGAAUUGAAUGGAUGGUUGGUUGAACAGUAUUAAUCUAAUAAAUGACAAUGAUCAAAAGAAUAAUUUUAACAGCGAAAAAUUUAAUAGCACCAAGCGUUUGAUAUAGUAUACUAUAUUUUAAAUAUUUGUCUUUUUUUGAAACAUAUAGGAAAAGUAACCACCUCAGCGAACGUAGACGGAGUAGGCUCCGUGUUCUUCCUGGAGAAGGACCUGCACCCGGGCUCAAAGAUGACCCUGCAUUUCACCCGGACCGCCUCCACCGCCACCGUGCUCCUCCCGCGCCGCGUCUCCGACUCGAUCCCUUUCUCUUCCGCCAAGCUCCCGGAGAUACUCUCCCGCUUCUCCGUCGACGCCGCCUCUGCAAGGGCUGACGCCAUCAAGAGCACCCUCACCGAGUGCGAGGCCCCAGCCCUCGGCGGCGAGGACUGGCUCUGCGUCACCUCGCUCGAGUCCAUGGUCAACUUCACCACUGCCAGCCUCGGCAUCCGCGACUUACGGGCCGUGUCCACCGCUGUCGGCCGUGAGGGUACGACACAGUGAAAUAACCGUUUUUCUCUGAAACCAAAGAAAAAAAAAUCUAGUGUAAACAUAGAAAACAAGAGAAUUUUAUGUACUAGAGAGCGUCCCAACAGAAAGAUAGUCCGAUCAAUCUCAGCUGGCAAAACUCGAGUGAUAUUUUCUUAAUAUUUUAUAUUCAACAGGCACGCCGAAGCAGGCAUAUACGAUCGAGAAUGUAAAGAAGAUGUCCACCCCAGGAUCCGAGCUGGUGGCAUGCCACGGCAUGAAGUAUGCGUACGCGGUGUUCCACUGCCACAUGACGACCGCGGCCGCCUACACCGUAUCGAUGGCGGGCGCCGACGGGACGAGGGUGGAGGCGCUCGCAGCGUGCCACACCGACGCGGCAGCCGGGUCGAGGAGGCGUUCAAGAAGCUCAACGUCGAGCCCUGGAGCGUGCCAGUGUGCCACUUCCUGCCCCAGGAUGAUCUCCUGUGGAGCCGCAACUAACUUGGCAGAUUAGAACAUGUGAAUUAUGACGUGGAGUGGACUGCUACAUAUUAUAAUCUGGUCUGUGAUCCAUGGUUUAUUGGGCCAGCUAACUGGUGUACUAGCGUGUAUGUGUGUUGUACUGUGUUGUCCUCGUCCUUGUCCUUGCCGGCACAUAUCUAAACUGUAUCCAUGUUUCCUCUAUGUUAUAUAAAUAAGAAAACUUAUUCUAAAAUGUUGGUUUCCUGUAGAAAUGAAUGCACGUCUAUGUGAUAGUGAAUUUUUGCUAUCAUUUUAUAACAUUUUUUUUAAAAAAAAAACUCUAUCUUAGAAUUAAAUUUAUUUUAAAAAAGAAUCGAUAUUGUCAAAAUUAGUUUUGAUAUUACCAGAAAAGCUAGGCAAUAGCAGAAACUUCUGUGGCAACAUCAGUUUCCAAUUUCAGAUAUCUUUUGAACUAUCAAAUACAGUACAAGAUAAUGUGUUUCCAAACUGGGCCUUAACAAGUUAACGGGUUUGCUCGGGCCUGCUAAGUGGGCCCGAACGAUGAUGGGCCUCAUAGGCCCUAUGGGUUGUGUACUGUAAUCGGAGCCGGAUCUUGAUGCGCUCGAUUGGGCUCCGCAUCAGGUUUAGUUUGGUCCUAAUUUGACUAGGGGUCAAACGCGAGUGGUGCGCUUGGGUGCGAGAUCCUCGGGCACAGACGACUCAGGGCGCCGUGCGGUGGAAUUGUAUCCCGUGCUCUCUCUCUCUCUCUCUCUCUCUCUCUCUCUCUACCUUUCCCACGUUACGAUCCCUUUCCCCAACUCUAUCGCCACCGACGAAACCCUCGUCGUCGUCAACCUCGUCCCCCUCUCCGCCGCGCCAUGAAACCCUCGCAGAACAAGAAGAAGAGCAGGAAGAAGAAGCCGAAGCCCUCUUCUCCCGCUCCGCCGCCCUCCCAAAGAUCCGGCGCUGAAUCGAAGGGGGACGAGGGAAUUGGAGGGGAAAAGGCCGAGGGCGAGGAGAGGAAGGACCUGGAUUGGUUGAUCGAUGCGUUCGGUUCGGUCUCCGUCGACCAGAUCGAGUCGGUGUACCGCGAGGCCGGCGGCGACGCCUACAAGGCCGCCGGAAUUCUCGGCGCUCAUCUCGAGGACCCCGGGGAGGCGCCGGCGUCGAGCGGCGGCGGCUGCGGCCGCGGCGACGGCGGCGGAGGUGGUGGCGGGAGGAGAGCGCGGCGGAAGCCCAAGAGGGUUGCGGCGGCCACGGGUAUGGUUUCGGACGUGAUCGGGAAGAGCUAUUCGAGCCCGGUAAUGGUCUGCGGCAAAGGGAGGAGGAGCGGGGAGGGGAGGGCGGAGGAAGAGAAGAGGAGGGGGGAUGCGGAGGUCGAGGAUGCGGAGCAGUUCUUGUGCUCGAUGCUGGGGGAUAGCUCGCAUCUUGGAAUGGGAGUGGUCAGAGAUGUUCUAGGUGAGCAUAGAUAUCCUUUUCUUUUUCUUUUUUUACCUUCUCCUUUUGGGGGUCAUAAGCUUUUUCUGUUUCUGUACCUGAAUUGUUCGUUGUUGGGGUUGCUUUAUGCAAAUAACUAUGGAUACAUCAAUUUUGGCAAAUUACUGGAGUAGCCUUAAGCUAAUUUCUUAAUCGAACGGCCGGAGAGUCUUCUCUCAUGAUUCAUUUAGUUAAUGCGUUCUCAGGAAGGAGACGCUGCUACAAUUCCACUUCGUCACCCUUGGGAGUGUUGCAUUUAUCUCAGAGGAAACUAUUAUUCUUGAUUGUUAAUUUGGAUUUUAAGAAAUUAUAGGUACAAUACUUUUUAUGUUUGUCGUGUAAGAUUCAGAAGGUAUUGUAUGGACAUGCAAUCUAUUAUCUGGCUAUGGUGGUUUUAAAAUGGGUGGAGGGAACAAGCGGAAGUGCUCAGGGGAGUAAUUAAGUUGCGGGAGGUAUUGUUCAUGGAGGUGGGAAGAAAUAAAUAAACAGCUAAAAAUUUUUUGUUUCGCGUUAUGAGGAUCUGAGUUUAUUGAUCAAUGAUUUUGAUUCGUCAUGUCCAGAAAGCUGUUGAAAAGAUAAAGAUACUGCCUUACAUGUUAACUUGUGAAUGGUAAAUCUGCCAAUACUCGUUUUGUUUGAAACAAGUGCUCGUUUUAUGCAUGGUACAAAAAGUAAAAGAGAAUCAACAAAAACGAACUGAUAAAUAGUAGUCAAGAAAGCAUUAAUAGAGGUGAACAUCAAAGAAGAGAUCAUAAAUGAGUUAGGAGAGGUUGAUUGGAAAUGAGGGAGAUAUUGUCUUCAACAUGUGUUAGGUGUGUUUUUAGGCAGUUCUGAUUGAAGAAAAGAGUGGGGAUUGUGCUAUGUAUCCCACUAUUCUUGCAUGAAAUAUAAAGUUCUGUGCAAUCCAUAUUGUUAAAUUGCAUAGCAUUCUUUGAUACCAUUAUGUUUUAGCGUCUUUUGAACUGUUUUCAUGGCUGGCACAAACUUUUCUCUCUGAGGUACCUAAUUGUAGGAUGUUUGUUGUAUGCUCGACGCUGAGCUUCAUACUUUUGUACCAUGUGCUCAUUACUUACUUUUUGUUUUCCUUGCAGGUCAAUGUGGAUGUGAUGUUGAGAAGGUAUUGUCUAUUUUGAUGUUCUUCAAGUACUUACAUAAGUACAUAACUUUACAUGCAUUGUCUAGAAACUUUUAUUUUAUUUUAUUUUAUUUUUUCCAUCAAAUCAAGAUGUAGAGGUGCUUCUUAAGUAGUAUGUUCUUGCCAAAUAGCCCAAUCGAAUAAAUUUGUGUCAUGAGAGUAGUAAUAGCUGAUUUACCUUUACUUUUUGUUAUGUUUGACUUGCUUGGUUUCUUCUUUAGUGUCCUUUCAGAUUAGCCAAAUUUUCAUUUUAACUGUUUUAGUUGGAAUUUUGGAUUAAAGAAUCCAAUUAAUUCCAGUUUAAAUGAAGCUGUUUUCUUUUUUUCUUUUGUCUUUUGAAGGGGGAGGGGCACCAUUUUUCAUCCUUCCCGCUUUAAAUGCUAAAUUUCAAUUUUCUACAGAUUACACAUUGUGAUUCUUGAUCACUAAAUGAGUAGAGACGUCCUUCUAUUUCAUGUGGAGGGUGCCUAACUCUGGAAACUGUAUGAGAAUUAAACUACAAAACCUAAAGUUUCUUUCAGGCUCUGGAGGUGUUACUAGAUUUAGCAGCAUCCUCCUACAACCAGCACAAGGAGAGGAGCUAUUGGAAUCAUGGAAAGAGUUGCAUGGAUUAUUCUAUUAUCUUCCGUGGGAUGUCCAGUAAAAACACCCGAGAGAACAAUAUAAACUCAUUCCAGGUACUUCUUCACCUGGUAAAAUGUUGACUGCUAUUUUCUCUUCUCAUGUCAUUAGCAUGUGAAAAUAACUGUCUCCAGGCUUGAUAUUAGGUUAGCAAAUUAUAUUUCGUGUCAUUCUGCUAAAUUAACUGAUAAACUGCAAUUGAACACUCCAUAUUUGCAGCUUGACUGAUAGAUACUGGUUUUGCAGUUUCAGUCAGUUGUAAUUGGGAUAUCUUGCCCAAAUUUCAAGUUUAUUUUGCAUGUAUACAAUGCUUUUGUUCAUGCCAGAAUAUGUGUAGUUCAAGGACGAGUCUGGUGGUAACAGAAGUAAAAGCAAGUGCUUCUACAUUCAGGCAAUCCAUUUUUUGUCUAUAGUCCUCUUGUUUUAUCUGUAAAGAAAGAAGGGGGUGUUGACCUAGAUAGUUAUGUUUUCUUUCUAGUUGAAGAGGUAGUGACAAGUGGAUCAAUCACAGCUUAUCAAAGGAGGGGAAAUGAAGAUGGUUCCCAUUGACUACUACUGCAUUGUGUGAUUUCAAUGAAAAUUUUCUUCUUUCUCUAUCAUUUUCUUGUUUCCUUUCUCACUGUUAUUCACUUUGUCAAGAUAAAAUAUUGGAGGGACUAUUUAAAUAUACUUUUGAUGCUUUUACUGGCAUGCAAUUGUUAAUCUUGCUUCUUUUCUUUUUUGCCGUAAUAAUUUUUAUUUUAAUGCUAGUUUGUCUCAGUCACCAGAUAAUACCGGUGAGAUGACCUGUCAUUCAUCUGAAAAAGAACAAGAAUUCCCACAAUAUGCAGGAUAUGAUAGCAGGUGUGCUUACUCUUUUCAUUGCUUCAUUUUUAUUGACUCUAAUAGAAGUAGCAUUACCUAUAGAUAUUAUGUAUUAUUCAUUUAAUCAUUAUGAGGGAUGUCUUUCGCUUUAAGGAUCAUUAGUGUUCAUAUCCUCUUGUGAAUAGGCCUUUUGAGUACAUUUAUUGUAUUUCGAUGAGAUGAAAACUUAAGAGGCUACGGCUCUAUGCCAUGAAUUCUGAUUCACUACUUACAACUGACAAUUUCUUAUCAUCUCCUUUAGAAAGAGUCUUCUUAGAUAUGCUCAGUGUUUCCAUGACAAGGAUAAGUCUAGCGGACCAGCAGUCAAAGAAUUAUCUAGGGAAUCCCUUUAUUUGUAGAAAGUUUUAGAAAGUUGGAUGAAAAGCGUUGGAGGACUUAAUGCAAUUAAUUUGGAUAAAAGAGUUCAAAAGAGGAACAGAUAGGAGGAAAUAGGGAUCCAAUAAGGUGUUGGAUGGUAUCAAAUGUUUCCACAGUGUCAGCUGUAAUUAAUCCUAAGGUUAAAGAGAUUACUUAACCUCCUUUUCUACUACUAAUAUUUCAUGGUAAUAUUUCUCAGGCCUACAAGAUGAUUAAUUAAAUUAGGUGCCUGAUGUUGAUAGGAUAUGACUAUUUGGCAAAAUUGUUCAUUUUAGGUUAAACCCUAGAAAGGUUUAAAGUGCCGUGGCACGGGGGCGUGCCGUUAUGUCCCUGGCACGAUACGGCACAGGCACGCUUGCGUGCCGACACGUGGCACGCUUGCGUGCCGAUAGAUACGCAUGACCUCCUACUGGCACGCUUUGGUAUGGAUUUAUUUUAGUUUUUUUGGUUCCAAUAAACUCUUAUAAUAUUAUUUUGAAAGAUUUAAACAAAAUAAUUAUGAAUAUUUACUAUAUAUACCUUACUAUACUCAUCAAUUAACAUGCAUGAAAACUUUUUGUAAGUAAAGUACAACUAUACCUGAUAUAGAAUGAAAUUAAAAUAUAAUAAUAAAAUUCACAAGUACAAUAAUUAUUUAAAUUUACAUCUUUACAUAGAGAUGACUGUUUAAUUCCACAUAGAUCGUCGCGCUUGAUCAUAUGACAUAUUGUUAUCUGCAGAUACAAGAUUUAUUUGACAAUGUUGAUAUAAGUAUUGCUGGUAUUGUGAGAAAUUCAUAUAUUCCCAAUAUUACAUCUAUAUUUUUUUGUUCUUUUAUUCUUUUAAAAAUAUCUGAUCAAAAAUUGUUUAGGAAAUUGAUUUUUGUUCCUUUGAUUUAUCGAAAGUUUCGCGGUGCAACAAAUUUUUACAAAAUUUUUUGUGAAAAAAAAAUAGAUGUUUGUGGUGGAAGUGUAUCGGCCCGAGCCCGCAGCCCACCACUGACAUCUGAGUGGGGUGCGGGGGGCUUUGCCCCCCGCGGUAUGGAUCGCUUAUGUCAAUUAAAAAUUUGCUCCUGUAUUGAUAAAUAAGAAGUUAUAAAAAAGGUAUCCGCCAAAAAGCAAAAAAGAAGUUGAAAAAAAGACAACAAAGAAAAAAAAAAAUUGGCGGCACGCACGGUACGUGCCGCCGGCACGCACCUGCCUACCGCUUUGUCUCAAGCGGCACGCAGGUGCAUGCCGCGAGAUAGGGGGGGUCCGAGACCCCCCCUUGUACCGAGCCCACGGUACGGCACGAGGGCACGGUACAGCACGCCCCUGUGCCGUACGGCAUGGGCGGCACUUCAAUCCUUGCCCUAGAUCUUAGGUCACCUGCCAUCUAACAGUACUGAUCACCAGUUUUGGAUCUUGAACCUUGUGAGUUAUCUACUUAAAAUAAACCAAAUAAUCACAGCAUCCUGUUUUAUAUGCAUCAAACUCAUGAUUUCCCAUCUUUUUGAAGAUUAAGUAUAUGUGUAUAUGUAUAUAUGGAUGUGCGUUAUGAUUUAAUGAUGCAUUUAUCUCUCUUUGAUGUUUUAGACAUUACAUGAAGGAUCUUCCUGAUUCAGAUAUUCCAACGAUGGGGAAAUCCGAAAUGCAACAUAAAAUCUUGGAGUCGUUGUUUGGUGUUACUGAGUAUCCAAAGUAUGAGCCGAAUCGUAUGAACUGGAAGACGGUAGUAAAGAAGCUAAAAUCAUUUGGGCAAGGGUUGGAAUUUAAUUCUCCCCACAUCAUAGAUACUGGAGAAAAAACUAUAAGUGGUAAAUUUCCUUUUUCAUCUAUCAUAUUAAACUUGAAAAGCUAUCUUAGCAUAUGUGUAGGAGCCUGUUUUUCUCUGAGAGAGAUUUCUUUUCUUGAGUAUCUUUUUUGGCACUUCACUGCUGGUUUUUAAGAUAGUAGUUAGAAUUAUAUGUUAAAUACGAUUUGUUUUCCUUUAAAACUGAAAGUUUGUCCUUCAUGCUAGUGUUAUCUGUAUAAUGAUAAUUACGGCAGUGACAAGUCGUACAGAAUAUUGGUUUGUGUACCCUCAGGCCAUACGGUAAUAUUACUCAUACAUUAUAAUACAUAAUUAUCCAAAGUAUUCUGUCAGACGAUGUUCACUUUGUCUUUGAGAAGUGUUUAUUUUUCACAUAACAUCCAAAGUAUUCUGUGCAACUCUUCACUUUGUGUUAAUAGCUGCAUUAUGAAUCUUCUGCUGGUUAAAAUAUGAUUGUCAUUAUGGUGUACCACUAUUACUGCAGUUAUCUAUUGAGCUAAAAUUCAAAAGGACAUUAGAUGUUUAGCUAGAUUCUAAAAUUAUGCACAAUUUAAUAACCGUGACGAAAUAGUGCUUGAAUAUUGAUAUUGACAAGGUAAGUGCAAUAUCACAGUCGUCUAAACCUAAAAACCUAGUGGAUAGGCAGGAGGCCUUUUUAGCCUUUUUAUCAGUCAUACAAUUAGCUCUUGUUUUGAGAAAUUAUUAAUGAUAGGUGCACACUCAGAAAACCUGAAGAUUGAUUUGAAUAAUCACCUACUUUUUAGUCAUUUAAUUGUAUGCAUGUUGCAUAUAAGCUUUUGAUCUGAACUUGGAUAAGUCCGCAAAAAAUGUUUUUCUCUCUCGCAUUGUGAAAUAAAAAAGGCAUACGUGACUUUUUUAUCUAUCUUUCUGAAAGUGAUUCUCUGAUAGCUUGCAAAUGGCCUAGUCUAUGUUGCUACAAGUUUGUAAAUUGUUUUGCGGAUUCAUUUUGUUUACUGGUGCUGAUGCAAAUGUUAUGACAAUUAUUGUUGCAGGUAAAGGAGAUGGUUAUCAGGAGUUCCGCGGUGUUGCCAGUAAGCAUUGGGACACGAUGAAAAUGUACUAUCAGAAAGUAAGAUACAGUUACAGUACAGUUGUACUUAGCAUACCAGUUGUGCUGCCCAAAGAGAGCUUCGAAGUAGUAUUUUCUAUCCUGCAAAUUUUAUGUCAACUCGUUUGUAGGCUGCGUUGGCGUACUCAAGAGGGGAACGUGCUUAUGCCUCUCAUCUUUCAGAGAAGGUUUCGUUUCUUCUUUUUUUCUUAAGUUGAAGUAACUUCAUGCUAGUCGGUGCUCAUACAUAUGUCUUACUAUAUUUUUGAUUGUCACAUCAGUUUAAAAUACUAUUUUGAAGGCUUAUUAAAUUCUGUUGAGCAUCCUUCAAAAUAGAGCAUCCUUCAAAAUAGUGGCAAAAAAUAAAAAAGAUUCUGGUCAAUCUAUUCGUUAUCCUAAUCUACAAUUGCAACUGUCGUGAUUAUGAUGUGUGAAUUAAAACAUAACUCUAGCUUUAGUUAUUCCUAGGAGAAUUGAAGCCAUUCAAAAAUACUUGCUUAUUUUUCUCUUUCUGUUUUACUUUUUGCUUAUAUAGUCUGUUUAUUGCCCAUAUAUUUCUGCGUUGUGCUGUUAAUACACUUUGUAUCCAUGAUAUCUAUGGUUCAAGUAGAAACAUUCUUUGUUGAUUGCGAGAAGAUUAUUCUAAUUUAUGUGCAAGUAAUGGCUUACCUUUUAUAUGUUUUAGGGCAAAUACUUUCGUGAGUUGGCCCUUGAAGCUGAUGAAAAAGCCAGUCGAGAGAUUUUUGAAGCUAGGUAAUUGCACCGGGCUAGUUCUCUCUCUCAUUAGAGAUCCCUCGUAACAUUUUCUUUGUGUAUGCAGAAACAAGAGUAUAAGAAAUACAGUCACUAUCGACUUACAUGGGCAGCAUGUCAAACAAGCUAUUGGGCUUUUGAAGCUUCACCUACUUUUAUUUUCAUAUAUUCCUUGUAAGCACAAAUACUUUGUAAUGUCAAUUUCCUAGUUCUUUACAUACAGGUGCUUUUUACUUGCAUGUGGUAGGAAUUAAAUUGUUUACUUUUACCAAUCGAAUGCUUGUUUCUUUCAAUUAGCUGUCCAUUUCCUCAGAGUUAUCACUGGAUGUGGUGUAGAUGGUGUUGGCAGGGGAAAGUUAAAGUGCUCGGUAAGAAGCAAGCAAGCUUAGAUCUGUUCCCUUUCUUAAUGAAAGAUAAUAAAAUGUUCCCCAGGUCUAAUAGUAAAAAUGUUAGAUAAGAAAGAUCUAUCAUACCUAUGACGAAAAAUCAAUAAUGAAGUCACCUUUUGGCAUGCUUUUUAUUUUUCUCUAUCAUAUGCUUUCUAUUGGAUUUAAAAUUUUGCGGUGCUUUCUUUUGCUUUCUUUUGUUACUAUGUAAUUUGUCCCUGCUCUCCCCCCAGUUUUUUCCUCCUCCUUUUCAUUGCAAGGCAAUUGUUGAUUAUAUGGUUUCUUCUGUAAUUAUGUAUAAAGUAGCUUUUAUAUGUAGGGAAAUCUUGAGGAGAUAUAAUUACACAAAUUCUUCAUGACUUCAUAUAGGACAUAAUAAUUGGAAAAGAAUUCCCAAUUCUUAAUCUCUUUUCUUAGCUUUAACUAAGUUUAUACAUGACUUCAUGUCUAUUACAGGUAAUUGGGCUUGCGAAGAAGGAAGGCAUAGAAUGGAGCGAAGAGAAUGCAGGGACUGUAAUUCUCAGGCUAGAUGGGGCGAGGAAGUAUAGUUUUGCAGAAGGCGAUAGUGAUUCUGAGUAGCUGAAGCACACGAUUAAUCUGGUCAACAGGGUGGUUAACUGCUGAUUUUUUUCUUUACAGGCUAAUAUAUGUCUUUAAUUUGUCUUAAUGUAAAUUAUUAUAGUUGUCGUAAGGGUCUAAGGAUAGGUUAUGUUGUAAUUUAUGAUGUAUCAUGUAUCUUCAGAUCUCCUUUUACACCAAAAAAUCCUCUUCUUUCUCAAAAAUAUUGUGCUAGUUGCAGUUGCCCCAAGAGUAUGAGAUUUAUAUCGUUACUGUGCUCUGUUAUCGUAUCUGAUGAGAUAAUCAUAUUUCUUGUCCCAAGAGUUACUGAUAAAUCUCAAGCCCUGGUUUUGUAUUAAUUAACGAAGAACUUUUAAAUACGCAUUGUGCUUUAGCGCAUUACAUUGAAACGCUUGUAAUUAUUUAUUUCGUUGUGAUUAGUUUGUUAUAUCGUUUGGAUUAUUCAUUGGUAUAUUAUAUUAGAAAGGGAAAACUUCAAAUAUCCCUUUGUGGUUUUGUAUUUUCUCACUUUAGUACCCUGUGGUUUAAAGUGUAUUAAGUUAGUAUCCUUUGGUUUUGUAUUUUUUCACUUUAGUAGCCUAUGGUUUCAAGCGUACAAGUUAGUAUUAUGUGGUUUCGCACUUUCUCACUUUAGUACCAUAUGGUUUAAUAUUUUGUUAAUUUAUAUACUCUAAAAUAGAUAAUAAAAAGAGAAUUGAAACCACAUGGUACUAAUUUGAUACAAAAAUGAAAUCACAGGGUACUAAUUUGAUACACUUGAAACCACAUGGUAUUAAAGUGAGAAAGUGCGAAAUCAUAAAUUACUAACUUGAUACACUUUAAAUUACAGAAUACUAAAAUGGGUAAGUUUGAAAUUACAUGAAGGGUAUUUGAAGUUUCCCCUAUUAGCAAUGACGAGCAGGAGGUAUGGAUCUAUUUUGUGCUUGUUUGUACUUUGUAUUGAUUCUGUGUAGUACGUGGUACUACAGGAUAGUAUAAGGAUAAAUUACAUUUUUGAUCCUUAAACCACUAGGAGUGACACUUCGUCCUCAACAUAUAUUUUAAUAUUUAGCUCAAUAUUUUUUAGAAUUGUUGCACUUAAAUUUUAUAAUUUAAUUUAAUUGAUUAGAUAUUGAUAAAUUUUGAUACAGAAGUGAUGUGUAAGUAUUAUGAUAAAUAAUACGAUAAUAAUUAAAAUAUUAUAUUAUUUUUAUAUUAAUAAUUUGUUUAUAUUUUAUUUAAUUAUAUUGGAAUAUAGAAUUUAAUUAUAAUAAUUUUAAAAAAUAAAGUUAAAAUUUAUAACAAAGUUUGAGGUCAAAAGGCGUGUGCCACGAGAAACUUUACCCUAAAGUAAAUAAAAUCAUAAGAAAAUGAAGUACAAAAUGGGCCUGCUUCACAACAGUUUUGACGAGUCCGACGCCCGUCCUAAGGGAAAAAAGAUGAGCACUUAUCUAGAAUCCGGAUAUAAUAUAAAUUUAAUUUUAUUAUUCUUUGUUAAAUGCUUAACUAGAGAUUUUCUGGUUGACUGUGCUUUGAGACAUUCAAAUGCGGGGUUUUUAGUGCAAUAGUCUUUUUCUAAAAUUUUAUUCUAAAAAUAGACCCGUUAAAUUUUUAUUUAUAGAUAUAGUUCUAUAAAAGCAGUGAAUGGUUCACCGCUUUUAAAAGCGGUAAAUCAUUCACCGCUUUCUUUUUUUUUCUUACUUCUUUCUAUAUUUGUACGAUGGUAAAAGCGAUGAAUGGUUCACCGUAUUUAAUUUUUUUUUACUCUUACUGAGGAGUUAUGAAUGUGGUGAAUUAUUUACCGUAUUUAAAAGUCUAUUUUUAUAAUUUUUUUAAAAAAAUUAUUUUUAUAAUUAUAAAAAUCGAUAGAAUUAUUUAUAAAAAAAAUUCUUCAAAUGCAGUUGCAGUCUAACCCAUUGUGAUCUGACAUGAAUGUUUAUUUAUUUUUUUAUUUAUUUUGAAUUAUGACUUUUUGUUUUACUUUGAGAAUUUAAAUUUUAUCGUCAUUUCAUACGAUUCGAAGCGCACAACACGGUCAUGAAGUUCCACAUUUUGUGUCAUCACGUUUCUCUGUUGCAUAUAAGAAUUUUUUAUUUUUUCGGCCUCACAAUUUCCUCUUUUUCCCCUCAUACAUUUUGCGUCUCCGUCCUCUCGUAACCACUGCACUCGUAACGUCAUCAAUGGUGAGCUCCCUCUUUCGAUCUCUUCUUCUUCUUCGCCGAAACCCUAACACCCUUCGUCGCCUCCCCGCCCAAUUCCACCUCGCCGCGGCGGCGCUCGGCACCACCCCUCCUCCUCCUCCUCUUCCUCCCCUUCUGGGUAACCUCCCCAAAACCCUCAUUGCAAGAUCCUCACUCAACCCCUCCCAUGGCCUCUCUCAUCCCUCGCCGUCGCCGUGGUUCCACGCUCCCGCCGUGGGAUUCUGCGCCGGUGCGAGCGUGGGCGACGAGGUCGGGGAAUCGCCGUUGAUGGGUUCUUCUCCUGAGCCGGAGAAGCCGAGGAGCAAGAAGAAGCCGCAGAAGAGGAAAGCGAGGUUUGAUUUCACGAAGGUCGAUGUAGCGCUUCUCCCAACCGUGAUUCUAGUGGGUCGGCCCAAUGUCGGAAAGUCGGCGCUGUUCAAUCGGUGAGAAUCUUCAAAAGUAGGGUUUUUGGGGUUUUUGCUUCUUUGCCAUUAUCCUGGUAAUUUGAAUUUUCGCUUCCCAAAGAAGUGCUAUUAAUCGAAAGCUUAUUCUGAAUUCUCGCAACUGAAGAAGCUUCUGACACUUUGAUUACCAAACACAAUAUUCAGCUUCUGCUUAUCAAGGAAAAAUAGCUUUUUUGGGAGCUUGCCAAACAUAUUAUUAACCAAAAUUUGUUUGAACAGUUUGCAGCUGCAGUAAAAGCAAAUGCUUCAAAUUGCUGAAGGCCAACCAAGCAGUUGAUGUGAUUAGUUUCCAUGUCGUUUUCUUACCUUGCAGGUUGAUUAGGCGGAGAGAGGCUCUCGUUUACAACACUCCUGGUGAUCACGUCACACGCGAUGUCCGAGAAGGGAUCGCCAAGUUGGGUGAUUUGAGAUUUAGGGUUCUGGAUUCCGCUGGCCUCGAGACUGCGGCUACUUCAGGGAGUAUACUUAGCAGGACUGCCGAGAUGACAGAAAAUGUGAUUGCAAGGUCCCAAUUCGCCAUCUUUCUGAUUGAUGUCAGGUUGGUUUCUUGUUCUUCUUGAUCACAUAUUGAUGUUUGAUUUCUCGCUGCUUAGUUAUUAGGGAAAAACACACAGAACUUAGCAGAAUUAAAAUUGUAACGGCUAUCCGUACUUCAAAAUUUCUGAUUUUUCCUCCUAACCUGUAUUUACUGUUGAUUCCUGAAAAUUCUAUCAAGUUCUAUUAUAAGUUAAGCAUUUCCGUCGGAAAAUUCAAAGAAUACUUUGUCGAGUGAUGGCAUAUUCGCUCAAAUACAGUAAUUACCUACAAAAAGGUAGUCAAAUCAAGUAAACUGUAAGGUUAGGUAGUUAAAUAGAAAUAUUUCAAGUUCAAUUACAGUUUCAACAGUCACUCAAUUUAGGGUAGCUUCAAAUUAAAGAAUUGCCAAUGAGGUAUACAUUGAAUUAUAGGGAUGGGCUGCAGCCGCUCGAUCUUGAAGUUGGGAAGUGGCUGAGGAGGCAUGCCCAGGGAGUCCGUACCAUCGUUGCAAUGAAUAAAUCCGAGUCCCUUGAUGAGCGAGGCCUUAUUACUGCAGCGGCUGGGGAGGCCUAUGCAUUAGGAUUUGGUGACCCAAUUGCCAUUUCUGCAGAGACUGGCUUGGGAAUGGCAGAGCUUUAUGAGAUCCUCCGCCCAAUGUUGGACGAUUAUAUGCUUCAACUUCCAAAAAGUACGUCUGUAAUUAUCCAUGACCUUUUGUAGAGUUUAUAGAAAAUUAAAAUUUGAAGUUCACAGACUUACCGUUAAGUAAUUGUUUGUAGAAAUCUAUAGCUAGAAUUAAACAACUGCGAUAUUUCCAACUCAUAUAUUAGCAUGGUUGAAGAGAAUGACGUUCAGAUCAUAUGGAAAAUGGAUCAUGAAUCUGAAGCUUGCAUAAUUUAUUAUAGUAAGUGAAGUUGAUUCCAUCAAAAUAUUUCUCUUUGCAAAUUUGAUUGUAAAUUACAUUUUCAGCUUCAUUUUGAAACUUUUGCUAUGCAGUUCUCUUCAACUAUGCUUUUACCAUGCUAUUCUGCUACUAAUGUCACCUAAUUUUAUUUUAAAUUUCAGUAGCAUAGAUCUCUGGCUAUAAAUUGUCAGAAGAUUCACUAGAAAGAGGUGCAUAUGGCAUGCAGUAAGGAUUGUAUCAAUUGAAAUCAGGACUCACAGUAUGUUUCAAUUUGUUGGACGAACUCUACAGUUACGCUUUAUGUUAUGAUUUAGUUGAUGAGUAGAAGUCACAAGUCAUAACCAAUCCUCUAUUUAAUGAUAUAGGCAUCUCAUAAAGUUAAAGGCAUACAGGCUUUCUUUUGGUCGUUUGCGAUAUAACUUAGUCUAUAACUCAUCCCUUUUGAUUCUUGUAGAUGAGCAUAACCAAGAGGAUACUACGUCUGAAGAGGAGAAUAACGAAGAGAGGAAGUUACCUUUGCAACUUGCAAUUGUUGGACGUCCUAAUGUUGGGAAGUCUACUCUGCUGAAUACCUUAUUACAAGAAGAAAGGGUUCUGGUUGGGCCAGAGGCUGGCUUAACAAGGGAUUCAAUUCGAGCUCAAUUUCAAUUCGAAAACCGGACUGUCUAUUUGGUAAAUUAGCAGGUUUUAUAUAUUCUUCUCAGCUAUGUUGGUCUACUGGUUUUUUGUUGUAUUUCCUGUAUUUCCAUAUGUUCUUAAUAUUUCCUCCAUUCGGAGCUUCAAAUAAUAUCCUUUUACUUAGGGAUAAAAUACCGUUUGUCCUCCCAUACUCUUUUGACAACUUGAAACACCUUUUCUCUUCAGUUUAGACUUGUGGUUUAGCAUGUUGUGAUUUUUAUCUGUAUGUGUAGCAUUGUCGCAGGCUUGUAGAAUUCUGGAUAUUCUUAUAGAAGCAUGUGAAUGUUGUAUUGACUAAUCAAGUAAUUUUUGAUGUUCAGGUGGACACUGCAGGUUGGUUACAAAGAUCAGGGCAAGAAAAGGGGCCAGCAUCAUUAAGUGUCGUACAGUCAAGAAAGAACCUUAUGAGAGCUCAUGUUGUAGCUUUAGUGCUUGAUGGAGAAGAGGUAUGGAACCUUUUUUUUCUCUGUUUCUUACUAAAAUCUAUUAGCAUGUAAUUAGAAGCCUUGCUACGCAGCCCAAAUUAUUGACAAAUGAAAGCAACCAAUCUUUCUUAUUUUGUUCUUUUCCAACUUACCACAUAAAAUAAUUCAAGACUACUCUUUAUGCUUUUGAUUCUUAUUCUGAUAACGUCAUCAACUGCUGGUGAUUCAAUAGAAUUUGAAUGUGUUUCUCUGGAUAUGUAGAUUGCAAAAGCUAAGAGCAGUAUGAAACAUGCAGAAGUAGUUAUAGCACGGCAAGCGAUUGAAGAAGGUCGUGGACUGGUCGUGAUUGUAAACAAGAUGGAUCUUCUUAGAGGAAACUCUUUAUUAAUUGGAAAAGUCAUGGAAGCUGUUCCUAAGGAAAUUCAGACUGUCAUACCUCAGGUGUGUAUAUACAGCCAUAAUAUGCAUCAUGCUGGCAGGAUAAUUUCUUAUGUUUUUUUUUUUCCUACUUUGAUGGUUAUGAAUUUAACAUUUUUACAUUUUAAAUCAAGUUGUACUCCUAGAAUUAUGGAUUUAUGGUGCAAUGAAAUUAAAAAAUUUCUAAUCGCAUUUUUUAAAAAGAUAUUUGAAGUGUAAUCAAGUUCAUUUUGUAGUUGGUGUUUGUUUGUUGUGAAACACGACUACUAUUCACCAGACUUUUCUCACUUUGGACUAGUGGCAAAUAGCUAAUUCAUACUUGCUAGUGAUUUUCUUAUGAUUUUUUUUAUUAAUUCUUGUGCAUAGCAAUAAUUUAAAGAAUUACUCAGCCAUCCAAAAGUCUGUAAAUUGGUCAUUUCAGAGAAGAUUGUGACCAUGCUACUUUCAGCUUUUUAAUCUAUUUAUCUGUUGCGCAGCAGAGUUAAGUUCCAAGUAUCAGUUAGAUGCAUUCAUAUAUAUCACUUAAUUUAUCAGGUCACUGGGAUACCAGUUGUAUUUGUUUCUGCAUUGGAAGGAAGGGGACGAGUUGCCGUCAUGCAUCAGCUCAUAGAUACUUAUGAAAAAUGGUGCUUAAGAUUGCCAACUGCGCGUCUUAAUCGCUGGUUGCGUAAGGUAAUCUAUCUUAACUAUGUUAUCGUUUUCUCACUUGUGGAUUUUAUAGUAAACUGUAAAUGACAGAAAAAAAGUAUUUCCUUAAAUACCGCUCAUGCUAAGUAUGGAUGCCAUCUCUCUUUGGAAAACUACUCUUUGUUCAGAAGCAUCUCGUUAUAUUUCCCUUGUAGCUCUUUUGGCUUGGUUGAACUUCUGCAGAAGUGUUAUUGUGUAAGCUAUUCAAAAAGGACUGGCGGCACUUUCACUAACGUUCUCACCAACAGUUGUGGCUGCAUCGGAAGUAGAUCGUUCAAAUUGGAGCUUUUGCCUUAGGGUUUAGAAACUCGAUUCAGCUAACCAGUACAGAUCCACAAGAAGAUCCUCAUUUUUGCCAAAAUGUCCAGCUGCUGCUUUUUGAACUAGAACCUUGAAGCCAAACUGGCAUUUAGUUGGGGAAAUACUACAUAACUAUCUGACCAUUGUGCUAUUUAAAUACAUAUUCCUGUUUUGCCACGCAUAUGAUCACUUGUUAUAACUUAUUACAUGGUUGGAGUGAUUAUCAAAAUAAAAAAAAAAAUGGUGAUUUCUUGCUUUUACCAGAGAGUUUUUUUUAUCAUAUUUUUGUUUGGUUCUAACAGGUUAUGAGCAGGCAUUCGUGGAAAGAUCUAGCGACCCAACCGAAGGUGAAGUACUUCACUCAGGUCAAAGCACGGCCGCCUACAUUCGUUGCCUUUCUGAGUGGGAAGGCACAGCUUUCAGAUACCGAUAUGAGGUUCUUAACGAAGUCUCUCAAGGAAGAUUUUAAUCUUGGUGGGAUCCCAAUCCGCAUCAUGCAGCGGUCCAUUCCGAGAAGAGCAGAUCCCAAUAAAAAUAGUAACAAUUUGAGAACUAGGAUGAAUUUGAGAGCCAGAUCGGACAAAAGAUUGGCACCAUCAGAACUUGCUCCUUCGUGAGGAUCUGAUACUUAUCAAUGAUUCAGAAAAGGAAAAGAAGGGUGUUUUAUUCAGGUAGUAACCAACAAAUCUUCUUCAAGUGAAGAAUUUCCACCUUGAAUUGAAAGAAUGAAGAAGAACUCGUCCGGUCUGUUCCAUAUCUAUUAACUGAGUGAAGUGGAAAAUGAUAGCAAUUGGAAUCUAGCCUCGUUUUCGACAAGAGGACUAACCUUUUCGAGUUUUAAGAACACGGGCGCUUUUUAUUAAUUCUAUUAGUUCCUAGCUGUAAUCGCGAUUACUGCAAUGGUAAGUAGCAGCGAAGAGAAGAAAAUAGUUGCUCAUGUAAAAACAUGCGAGUAUUUCAUUACACAAAAUGAUGGUAUUCAGUGGUGUAUUACUAAUAUGCUUACUUUUCUGUUCUUGGCAACUGGAUAUAAUUGGGCUUUUUGUUGGUUUCCUUUUCUGGCAGUGGGGGCAAUUUUGUUCUUCCCUGUUCUUCUGACUAAACUCCCAAACUGAGAUAAACCUAACCGAACUAAGGAUGUUAUGUUUGAGAUUUUUCAUAAUCAACUCACUGAUUAGCCAAUCUACAAUAGCUCUCAAGGCACUUCUUACUUGUUAGCACUCUUUUGAUUCUUCUUAGAAGCUUCGCAAGCAAACAUAUGAGACCAGAAAGUCCCAGAGUGAAGCAAUGAACAGAACAACUAGGGCAUGAUCAGCAGCAGCAGCAGUUUGGUCGAGAUGUCGUUCUCUUUAAAGCUGAGGUCUCUAAAGAAAAGAGAAUAAACAUCAACGAAAGUUAGUUGAUACAGGUUAUAACACAUCACGCCGCACGAAGUAAGAACUAUAUAAGAGGCCUCUUAUAUCCAACAAAAAGAACUUGAUAGGUAAAAGAUCAAAGUAAAAGAAAUACCGACAAACACGACAUCUUCUUUUGACAUGAAAUCAAGUCAACUUCGAAAAGUAAAGGUCAUUAUUCCCAAAGAAAUGCUCAUUUCUAUUAUUCCACCAGAGCACCAUUUUAAGAGGGAAAAUUUACGAUUCCCGAAACAUCACUGUGGAGAAAAGAGAGUUGAGAAUCGAGAAAGAGCAGAGAGAUCUGGUUGUUAAAUAGAACGGAAGCCUAUUGUCUCUAUGAGCAGUUGUUGUCCUCCGAUGAUCGCCCAGCUGUCUCAACAUUUUCAGCAGCAGCAGCUGCCGCGGUUGCGGCCUCACUCAAACCCAUCUUCUGUAGCUCGUUAAGAAACCCAUCGACAUCGGCAUCACUUAUUCUGUAUGGAGUGUGAGCCGGACCGGGAAAAGACCGGCUCUCCACUUCUUGCUUAUACUCUGACAGUGCCUUGUUGAUGGCAUCACCCACAUGUCCAAACUGCUUACAAAAUUUAGGGGUUACCUGUAAAAGUGGUAAAAAGCAGCAGAUUAGUCAGCGCACAUGAGAGCACAGGGAGCAAAUGAUGCAGUGCAUGCGACAGGUUUUGUUCACACGAUGGUUGUUUGUGAAACCCUAAGAAGUUACGUUCCUCCAAACUUGCUGAGCAGUUAUUGGGCAGUUAUAUCUGAAAACAGGCAUUAGCAUAUGCCUGGUGGGUGGAGCUUCUGCGGCAGCUGAUAGCAGCAAAAGCUCCGUACUUUGGGAUUGCAAGACACCUAGCUACUGCUGCUCAGAGUAGAGAAGCAAUUUCAAAAGCCAAGUCAAAGAGGCACUAAGAAAGAGAAUCAGACGUGGCAUUUACCUUGGCAUGAUGAGGAUGUUGCAGCAUUCCCAGCAAGUCGUGGUAAACUAAUACCUGCAAGAAAAAUAACAUUAGCAGGUCCUUAAUAUGCAGCACUCAUGAUAAUAUUCAAACACGCAAAUAAACUUUUGUUGCAAAUUUGACAUGGAUAAUCCAGGAUAUAAUUUGCAAGAAAGGUAUAGCUAUUUAAUUUGAAGGCAAGGAAACUAAAUAGCAAAGCUAAGAAAAUAAGCCACCAGUUGUAUCGAGAUUUGCUGCAUGAAAAUGAAUUAAACCCUACCUAUACGACAAAAUGUUUAUAGACCAAGCAAGACAACUAUAGAAAAUGAAUUCAGUUGAUGGUAAACAAUUGGAACAGCAAGAGAUGUGCAAAUAAUGACUUCAUAAACACUUCGAAAUGUCAGAUCUUCUUCGGCCAUAACAUAUAAUAAAUGCCGACAGGCAGCAUUAGUGCUUAUCGAGAAUAAAACCAUUUUGCCUUCUCAAACGCUUUCCCAAUGUUUUAGCCUCCCAGUAGCUUUGGUUGCUUUCUUCAAGUCCUUCCUGAAUUUUAUGAUUAAGUUUGAUAUGACCUGACAAAUUAGUGACUAUUUAAUUUAGUUCAUAAUGCUGCAGGAGAGUUUGUCUAACAGUCAGCUGAUGCAACAAACACCAGUAAUUAAAGGAAAAUUAGGCUUAACAAAGAUUGGCAUAUCUAGAAGUAUCCUAUCUAAUUAUUGUAAGCACUCUCAAACUUGGAUUAUUAACUUCCUUCAAAUGGGAAUGUCUGAGAGAAUGGAAGGCAUAUAAAAGCAUAAAGUAAUUCCCAUUCAAGCUCAAUGAUGCAGUUUGCCACCCCAGGAGUCUCUUCGAUAAACUCAUGGAACAGAAUCCAGAAACCUAAUGAACAUAAAUGUGAGAAGUGGUGAAUAGGGAGAAUGCAUGAGCUCUUUGUUUCUCACUCCAUAAUCCUGAGUUGCUGACGGCUGACGCAUGUUAAAACUGCUUUCCUUGCUCAAAGCGUCUUCUUGAAAUAUCUUACUAAAUAUAACUCAGUGAAAAAUAACUGAUUCAGGCAUACAAUAUAACCAAAAUAUUUCUGAGACGAAGAGACUCGACUUGCCAAACCCUUGGAUGCAAUAAAGGGUACUCUGCAUAUAUGCAACAUUGCAAUAUACAAAAUCAUGAAAAUAGUCCUCAAAGUUUGCAUUGAACCUACCAGUAAAGACCUUGUUCGCACGUGUGCCUGUUGGAGGUAUCUAUUCAAUGGAUUUUGCAUACAUACCCCUGGCAGCAGAAGAAUGCAGUUUUCAGGGGCGGACACUUAAAUAUUAGCUUUACACGGACAUUUGCGCAGUUUUGCAUAUUGGCAAAGUUACAUGCACAAAAAGCUCUAGAAUAAGUCAUGUCCUUUCACAGAGUAAGCUGUGCCUUACUAUCCAGUGCACUUGAAAGUAUUCAAGGUGUUCUUUACAAUUUUCUCAAUAUAAAGAGUCAAUCGAAGUACAGUAAUAUAUCACACGUACAAAGAGAUUAACCAAAGUACAGCAAUAUGUCAUUAAUACAACACGAUACAUAAUUCAACAAUAUUUGGUAAGCAAGUUUUUGCCAUCUACUGCACAUAUAUGACAAGAUUUUUUUUAAAGCACUAUAGCUUAUUUUAACAGCACGACACUAUGCUAUUCAAAUAGCACUACAUGCGACAUCCCGGCCAAACCAAACAAGCCGUUUGUGCCUAUUCAUUUAGGGACUCUCAGCUAAUUGAUUCUUCAAGGUGCAACAGUUUCGCCUUCUUAUUGCUGCUACCUUCAUUUACUCUGGCAAGCUAAUCAACUUUUAGAAAGAUUAAAUCUCUUUAGGAAUAGCAACACACUUUCGAGACAAACUGUUGCUUAACCCUAUUAUCUGUAUCACCGGUCAGUUUAGUUUCGGCAAUAUAUACAUCGUUACAAUCUCAACACAAUCGUGGUUUUUCGAUCAAAAUAAGAGGAAAGGCAUCUCGUUAUGCUCAUCGUGCAACGUUGAAGAACUAACUAACCUGGCCACUGCAGAACGGCCCUGCACCAAUCCCUAUAGUGGGAAUCUCUAAGGCCUUGGUAGCGGCUGCCGCCACAGGUGCUGGCACGCACUCCAACACAAUCGAGAAGCACCCUGCCUUCUGCAAGGCAAGUGCUGUCUCCACCACCUACACCCAAAAAAAAAAUAAUAAUAAUAACAAUAAAACUAAAAAUAAAACAAUCUCCACUCAAUCAAUUCAUCAAACAUCUGGCAUGCGCAAUCAGAAAAAAGGAGCCCCACCUUAAUGGCGCUUUCAACCGUCUUCCCCUGGGGCCGGAACCCACCGAGCACGCUGAUGGCCUGCGGCGUCAACCCCACAUGGCCCAUGACAGCGAUCCCCGCCUCAACGAUUGCCUUUGCGGCUGUUAUCCUCGACGGUGCUGCGCCUUCAAGCUUGAUCGCGUCCAUGCCCCCUUCUUUGAGCAUCCUCACCGCUGAGUCCACCGCCUACACUGCCCCAAGAAGAAGAAGAAGAAGAAGAAGAAGAAACACAACAAAGAAACAAUAAGAGAGAUGUCCCCAGAAGAUCGAUCUAAUGGUAACACUUCCACUCACGUGCAUACUGGAAAUCAAGUAAACAAUAUUGCAUGCCCUAAUAGAAGAGGUAAUCGAUCUAAUAGUAAACAGUCCAAGAAUAGUCUCAGCACAUCUAUUCACAUGCAUAAUAGAGAUUAAGUAAUCUAGAACUAAACCGUCCAUGAAUGAGAGUCUCGACACCUUAGCUCACGUGCAUAAUGAAGAUCACGUAUGCUACAACACGUGCACUGACAGAAGAGACGGACUCUGAUAUCAUGUUAUCGAAAAGAUGAGAUGCGGGGUGAUGUGAAAUGAGUGCCUGGGAGGGGGAGGACUCGUAGGAGCCGAAGGGGAGGUCGCCGACGAGGAGGGGGCGGGGGGCGCCGCGGGCGACGGCGCGGCAGUGGGCGAGCAUGAGGUCGAGGGGGAUGGGGAGGGUGGUGUCGUGGCCGUGGACGACCAUGGCGGCGGAGUCGCCGACGAGGCAGACGUCGACGCCGGCGCGGUCGACGUGCACGGCCGACGGGUAGUCGUACGCGGUCACCAUCGUGAUCGCCUCCCCGCGCCGCUGCUUCUGCCGCAGCUGACCCAGCGUCACCCGCCGCCCCAAGCUCUGCUCCCGCGGCCCCCCGUACACCGCCCCCUCCGGCACGUUGCUCAUCCACCGCCGCGCCGCCCACCGAAACAUCGUCGCCCUAAUUAUUUUCCUCCUUGAUUUGUUGUUCUCUUCUUUCUUCUUCUUGAUCUGUUGUCCUCUGAUCUGCCGCUUCCCCACGGGCUUCUCCUUCUCCCCCCUCCCCAACCGCCGCCCCACCUACCAAAAAAAAAAAAACAAAGAAAAAGAAAAAGCCAAGACAGACGAACGAGGGCUUAAAAAGAAAGGGUUCUUUUCGAGGAAUUCUACAUUAUCACACUUGCACCACGUCAUCAAUAACAAACUAAUUAUAUUUAUUUUUUUCAAACAAAAAUAUAAUAAAAAUAUUUUUUUAUAAUUAUGAUAGAAUAUAUAUUUUUUAAAAAAAAUAUUUGAUUAAUUUGUUAUGUCACGUCACCAAUAUACCUGUUGCAUUCUAGAAUUUUUCGCUCUUUUCAGGGUGUACUUA
This 65188-nucleotide long non-coding RNA is filed under the name Ananas comosus (pineapple). Its description in RNAcentral is "long non-coding RNA (ACOM_LNC016121)". The record is from RNAcentral. Lineage: Eukaryota; Viridiplantae; Streptophyta; Magnoliopsida; Poales; Bromeliaceae.